GAAGGACAAGGUGUAAGGUACUAAUUAUGUGUCUGCUAUAAGGAACUACUUCAUUGAUCAAGAAAGUUUAGGGACUAAAUUGAAUGAAUACUCAAAAAAAAAAAAAAAAUCAAGCCAACAAAAAGUUGAGUGGCUAAAUAGGACUUUCACUAAAAGCUUGAGAACUUCUAACGUGAGUUGCCCUCAAUGGUUCAAAACAAUUUUAAAGAUGCAAGCAGCCAGAGGGACUUAUGAGAUUCUUAACAUUUGCUAUAUAAUGAGAAAUGCUUUCCGACGGAUUAAUUUGAAGUGGUCAAGGUAAUGUUAUAGUGAGUUAGUGACUAAGAUAAAAUUUGUUUGAUAGAGCCAAGAUCGAAAUUUUGGGGUUUUCACAAAGAGGGAUCUAUCUAUAUCUAUAUUAUUAUCUUGUGGAAUGCGAAACUGCCAGAAAAGAGAACGAACAAUUUGAGUUGAUCGAGUUCCUCUAAUCAAGUCGUAGCAGUACUUUGCUGAUAGCAGUGCAUCGAUCAUUUCCCGAGUUCUUUUUGAACGAGAUGGAAAUAAAUGUAGUUGGUGGGUUACCUCAUUAAGGUUGUCAAGCUACAAUUGGAUGUUGUUAAGGUUAAUUGGUAAAAAAAAGAAAAAAAAAAGAAGAGAUAAUUUUGGUAUGGCGAUUUUGGCUUAUUUUCUUCAACAUUUUGUUCCUUAAGAACACUUCCUUAAGGAUUUGUGUAUAAACGUACGUAGUCUUACUUGGUUUUUGUCAAAAGUUGCGAUUGUGGGUUCUUUUAAGUAAAGUUUAGUUGGACGAUCUGGAAAAAUCAAGAUUCAAAAAAGCAUGUGGUACCGUACCGUCUGGACUUCAAAUAUGCCGUGAUCUCACGGUAACAUUUCCGCACUUGACAUCUAGCAUUCAUUUGCGAAAAAACGCGUACUACCAUAUAUAUAGUAGUAUCUACUACUAAAGUUUAUUAAAUAAAACCUUUACCUAAAUAAAUUCUAGAACAAAAGUAAAUAUUAAACAGUUGAAAUAAUUAAUGAGAGUCGAACCUUGCCUUAAGAAGAAAGCAAACAAAUUAAACAGUUGAAUUCUCACGCUACAAUAUGUACAAGCAAUUAUGUUUGUAGUGCCUUUAUGUGCUUAUAUGUCUUCAUGAGCCCUAAAAUACGAUGAAACAACUUAUCCUAUUAUAUAAUCCUAGUUUGGAGAGGUGGCGUCAUGCUAUUCCUGUCUCACCCACGUCAUUGCCUUCCCUGAAAUUUCUUGUUAAUUUCAACUCGCAAAAUCCAAACUCAUGAAGGUUUAAAAAAGGAAAAAAAAAAAAAAAUCUGCUGCUUUUAACUUUUUGGUGGUGUUAUUUGUAAUCAGGUCAUUGAGAACGAUGUUGUUUUCAAUCCAUGCGCUCAAAUAUGUGCAUCGACAUAGCUACGAAAGAUUUUAGCAUAUAUAUAUAUUUAAAAAAAAAAAAAUUUCCGUUAUUUGUGAUAUUGGGAGUGGCACCGCGGCCACAGGACGUUCCGGCAGUAUGCCAUAUUGAUUGCCGGUGGUCCAAACCACCCACAUGUUACGUUAUGUUAUGGCUGAUUUUCUGUCUAAGAUCGACUGCUGCAUAUAUCUUUCCCCAGCUCGGAGGCCAAAGACAGCUUCAUCAAUCGGGACGAGCAAAGUGUCUCAAUAUUCUUGCUGAUUCGUAUCGUUUCCAUGUGUUACACGAUGCAUGACUGACCCCCAAAUCCAUUUGUUAAUUUCUUGUGUGUUCUUUUUAGCUCACUUUAGAGUCAAGUGAACAGUGGACGACGUAGCAUAAAGAUGUCUUUACAUUUAUACAGUUUUUUUUUUUUUUUUUAAUUAACAAGUACCUCGUGAGACAAAUGUGUGGCGAGUGUUGUUUUACUUUUGUACAAGUGUAUGUAUGUGUCUCAACAUAACAUUUAAUGAGAUGUGUGUUUAAAGGUAGAGUGUUUGCUAUUCAGGUUAAAGAAAAAUCAUUCAGAAAAGAUAGUGUAGUGUGAUUCAAAGUCUCACGAAAUCAAUGUCGUGACCAAGGGUACGUAAUAAAACACUACUACCAUCGCCAAGGCGCAACAAUAAUGGUUUCUUUCCUAUAUAUAUCUACUGUCAUUAUGAUCACUACUAAUAUUAAGUUGGGACCUUUAAAUGAGACUCGAUCUGCACCACUAACUGUGUUAUAACGUCAAUUCAUCCCUCUCCAUUACCUCAUUCUUUGUUUUCAAUGAUAAAAAGAACGGUUCAUGAUUUUGUCCCAACUUUAGCUCCAUCUUUCCCACAUAAAGAAAGUGUUCCACUUAAUCGGAUGGCAAAGCUGUCUAUUGAGUGCUAACAACGCAGCGAUUCUUCCGACGUAUCCUGUUUUGCUUAAAAAAGUAUGACAUGAUUUUUCUUUUUUCUUUUUUUUUUAAAAAAAAGACUCAAAAGGAAUAAUACUAGAUAGCUGCCAACCAGCAGCUAUCAUUUUAGGUAGACCAUUUUUUUGUACAGUUUCAGAAAACCCCAUUUUGUUACUUACUAUAUUUUGAUAAUUUUAGGGCACUGACAAGAAAAUAACUCACGAAAUGCCAUCAGCCGAAUUAAUGAGUCCUUUUGGUAAAUCAGUUCUUUAGCCAAACUUGCGGGGGCCGAUUAAUUGGUUCCUCUCAGAAUUAGUUUGAGCGUGCGAAGUAGUAAUCGGUUCACAGCUAAAAGAGGGCCGGGAUGUAAGAUACCUAUAAUUACAACACUUUAGUUCCUCUUUGCAGGAUAAAUUCCACUUUUUAGAGAUAAGCUGCAGGAUGGAAAACCUACUUGUAGUGUAGGCCUAAGAUUAAACUUUGUGUGCGCGCGGGCGCGUGCAUGCGCGUGUAGCUAACAGAAAUCAGAAUGGCGGAUGGAAAUGUUGGAAGCUGGGAAUGGUGGGAGUCCACGAAGGGAAAGAUAAGUCUCAAGUAAUUUGGUUUCAUUAAUAGCUUUUGGUUGGGUUUGAGACUUUGGGACGAGUCUUCGAGAAAGGGUUUCUGCAUGAGAUAUUUUCCAGCAUCAAAAGGAAAGACGGUUCUUGGUUUCCUCACGAACAAUUAAUGCUUCAAAAUCCCAUGUCAUUUUGCGCUAGCCAAGUGAUCGAGAACACUACAGAGGUUGAAUUCGAGCCUAUUAAUAAGUUCGAAAGUGCGUGAAUCUAUUUUCCUUGUCUGCGAGAUUGGUUCGGAAUCAAGAAUGCGCAAGCAAUAGCGCAAUAGAGAGUCUAUUGCGUCCAAGGAAGUGCUUGCAACGAAGAAAGGAUCACUCAAUCUAGGGGAAGAACCAACCAACCCUGGUUGUGGCCAAUUAAAGCCAUGGACCCAUCAGUGAAAGCCAAAAAAUCUUAUCACCGUCCCUGUGUGUGGAUGUGGUACAAAUAAUAACUCAGUCUCACAAAUUAUUGACACACCCAACUGCGUCUCAAACCCGUCGCGGAUCAACUUUUGUCGCCAGUUCAACUUUUGACUUUUGAUGGGAGAAAAUGAAUUUCUUUUUUGGGGGGUUAUGAUAUGAAAGUUUUUGCUGUACGUGAAAUGGCGCUUUGAUCAUAGUAGUAUCAGUCUCCUUUUUCUUCCCUUUUUUUUUCGCCUCUCUCUGUUUUAGCAAAUGUCGCCUUCUAACUUAACUUGAGUUUUGGUCAAAAUCAGCGCAACUUGGAACCUUUUUCUGACUUUGUCUACUUUCUCAACUACUACUACUUGUGCUUGUCUCUGGUCCAAAAAUUUUUAACUUUAGUUAUCUAAGUUCUGCAAUCAAACUGGAGAGAUGAGAUAAAAUUAGUCAAGUAGUAAUUAACAUCGCUGUUAAAAAGGGAAAAAGCAAUGUAGCUUUGCACUCUUUAAGAUUGGUCAAACGAUUCCCAAGAUACUUGCGGCUUCUUUAUCUCGGGUUUCCCAGUAAACUGACGAACUGGACUACAAAUGACUAACGAGGUAAAUCUAGGCUGCAGGUAUAUUCGUUUUUUCGUUAUUUGGAUGACGGACGUAAAAUACUAUAUUUUGAUAUUUAAUACAGAAAAAUUAAGUAAAACGAGGGUAAAGGACACGAAAGAUCAAAGUACAUUUGAAAAAGCGAUGACGUAGAAUUUAACCAAAAAAAAAAAAAAAAAAGAACAAAAAAGCUCAUAAUUCUUACACUAUAUCUUAGUGUACAGCUUAGGAUAGAAUGAAUUUUGCUUCUGCUGUGUUGUGCUCAUAAAGAUGACUUAAAAUUGUCUUGAUUUAAUCUUAAUUCCAAACAGUCAUCAUGAAAUAAACAGUGCUUUCAGAAAAUAUUUUAUGACUUGGAAGAUCCAAUCGUUCUCCAUAUGGCGUCGAUUUCGUAGUCCGACACACUUUCUGCAACUAGAUUUUUAAUUUCUUGUCCAUCAUAUUCCUACGUUAGAACAAUAAAUUUUUUUAAAAAAAUAGCUUGAAUGUUGAGCUAGACAUAGUUCUCUAUUUUCGUUAUUGGAUACGUAUUCUUUUGCCACACAUGAUUUUUCAUUGGCUAAAACCCCAAAAAAAGAAAAAGAAAAAGAAAAUUGAAACAUUCAUUUUGACAUGGUCGUAAAAUGCUGGAUGAUAUAACUCAAGACAGACAUUCAAAGUGGUUCUCGAGAUUCUCCAUCCAUCGCUCUUUUUUGUGGAGAGAAAUAGUGAGGGAAGAAAGCGCGACCAAGCCUUGUACGUGUAUGUAUGUGUUUUCUUUUAAAAGGAAAAAAAAAAAAAAUUGGUUCACCACUUUGAGGACAUGAUUUGCCAGCAAUUGUUGUAUGGUAUAUAUGCUGGUUGAUGCACAUAAUGCUCUUUUUUUUUUUUUUUAAAAAAAAAGAAGAAGAAGAAGAAGUCAGCUUCGGCAUUGAAAUCCCCUAUUAUUUGUUAUUGGCAUCAUGUCAAGUUCUCGAGUCAAACUCUUUUGUUGACGUUUUUACGAGGUGCUUGUGUUGCGUGGAAGUGAUUAAUGCACCCAAAAAGGGGAAUAGCUCAAGUUCAUACAACGAAAUGGCUCGGUGUGGCUUGGUCACUUUCUAUGUAUAAAGUUUCUAUGCUUGUGCAGAUUCGGCCCAGAAGGCACCAUCCUGUAUAUGCAGUUCUCACUGGUGGUUAUUUCACGAACGAAUGUUUUGACUUUGAAUCAGUAAAAUUUGAUGCUCGAGUCAGCCAUCUAGUUCUAGUGCGGUAAAAACAGUAAAUUAAUUUCUACCCCAAUGGACUCCAUCCAAUUUCCCUCCCCACAAAUUUUCUGAUUUUUUUUUUUUUGGGUGUUUUACUCGUAUAUGUGACGGCGCAUACCUAAAUCAUAUAUAUAUAUAUAUAUAUUUGUGUGAUACUACUAUCUAUGACUAUCUUAGGUGGGAUAGGAAAAAUUUAAAUAUUUUGUUGGGACAAAAAGUGGGCCCCAAAAUGUUCUUCUGUAGCUACCUACUAUCGUAAGCUGCUGGCGAUCAAAACUUGGGAGCAGUUAGCAAGUAGCAGUAGUAGUUACUAUGUAGCACGUUUUCAAGAUAUUCUAUGUUGAACAGUUUGCUUCUUGAUCUCAAAGAAGGUGAUGAUCCAUAUAUAAAGAAGCGGAUGACGCGAGCGGGGUAUAGUUAUGGUUUUGAGGAUUGGCAGACGUCAGCAUUGGCCAUUUUUCAAAGAGGAAAAAUAAAAUAAAAACUUGUAUCAGCCUCAUGCUCAUGCAGUCAUAUUCCUUGAAGAGGCAGUCAUGAAUGUGUGAAAUUGGAAUGUAAGUGCUAUCCCUCACGUCGUAUUACUCGUAGUCAUUUUCCGAUGAAAGGGAUGGAGGGAAUUUCAUUCCCAAAAGCUGCCCCAAAAGCUAACGGAUGCUAUAUUGAGAAAACGCUAAAAGGGACCGGUCACUUGUGUUCUUGAAAGACUUGAGAUUUACUUUCUUCAGUUUUCUCUCAUAUCACAAACAACGAUUACACCACCACCACCCCACACACACACACACACACACACACAAAAACCCAAAACAAAAAAUGAUCUUUCUAUUUAUUUCAUGCAUGCAUUCGCUCAUUGCAAAACCUCGACUACUUCUCUUCCAAAAUCUAAUUACAAUUUCUCUAACGACUGUUUUAUAUAUAGACAUACGUUAACAUACAUUUUAAGUGUUAUAUUUUUGAAAAUAUGAGAUUAAUUAGAAAAAGUACAUAAAUGCAAGAAAGGAUAAUAAUUAUUAAUAUAUGUAUAUAUAUAAUAAGUUAGGUGAAUACUAGGUGUGCUAACGAGUUUAAAAAAAAAAACCCCAUCUAAAUAUGCAGCCGCCAUGCUCACAUUCCUUGUCAAAUACAUGGUAAAAUAGUCUUUUUGAUGUGACAUAAUUAUUUAAGGACAUCAAUCACAUUCCUGGUCUGCAUAACAAGAUAUUUAGGAUUGAAAAGAGGAAAAAGGACUAAUUAAUUGGCAAUAAUUUUUUUUUUUUUAAAAAAUCAAGUAAAGAAGUGAAGCAAUUAAAAUACUAUCAAGUAAAGGAUUGAACAUCAAAUUGUAGUUGAAGGUAGGAGGAAUGUGAUGUUGAUCCGUAUUAUUCCUCUUGUUAUUACUACUAUUACCCAUUAGUCUAUUAUUACUUUGUGAUACAUGUCUGCUACCUAGUCAUGGAGAGAACGAGAAAGACUAUAUAGCAUCUGUUUAGUAUUGAAUGAGACAUUGGUGUAGCAGUUUUGUAUUGUUUAGAUCCAUGUGAUAAGUACCUCACGCUUUCGGAAACAUUACGGAAUAGUAAUACUGCACUAGAGAGACACAUUGGUACGGGCAUGUACAAAUAGAGUAACUAAUUAAAACUAGCAAUGUCAUGAGUAGUUAAUUAAUUGAGGGUGUGCUGUGUUUAUUCACGGUUUAGUGGGUUACAUCUACAACUAAUUAAUGGAUUCACAAUCAUAACUGUUUGAAAACUUUCUUCUCCAAAUAUAUUAUAGCAGUAAUUAAUUAAGAAUCUCAGAUCAUUUCUCACACGAGAGACAUCAAAGUCAAAUGGUCGCUUCGUUUUUGCUUGAACAAAAUGAUACUAAUAUGUACUUGUAUGAUAAAUUACAAAUUCUAGUUCGCUCAACAAUUUCAUGCGCCAUACUAGCAAUAAGCUUCAAUCAAUAUAGCCAAAAUAUCCAUCCUAAAAAAAAAAAGAUUAUUAUUUCCUAAACUGACAGUGUAUACACUAUCAGCGUUGAAUGAAUGAUAACUAUACAAAUUUUGAUUUUGAAAUUUAAUUUUUACACAUGUGUCAUAGAUCCAACGGUGAUAGUGUAUUUACUCUCAGUGUAUAUAAGAUCUACUCAAAAAAAAAAGAAAGAAAAAACCUCCACUGUACUCUCAUUCUCUCCUGUGAUUCAAUCUAAUGUUCUAAACACUUCAUUGCUGUUUUUCAAUGUUCCUUGACUUGACUUCAGAUUGAGAUUGAAAAAGGUCGAUAAAACUUUUUGAAAGGUAAAUAAAUAUUCCAUGGUUUAUCCUUCUUCUAUAUUUUUAGCACUGUCAAAAGCCAAUACUCAUUAGGUCGAUAGUAACAAUUGAUAUACCGACAAUCAGUUGUAUAUUGUAAAUGUGACGAAAGAUGCUCACAUCCAACGACAUCAGGGCUUCGCAGAAUUCCUGUUUUCUUUUCUUUCUUUGGGUGAGGUGAGGGGGUGUUUUUCACUCCACUUUGUUUACCCAGAAGCCUAAAGAACCCUAACUUGUUACUGUGGUCAAGGCAAAUCUCCAUGCAUAUAAAACAUUAUCAUAAACACUUUAGGAAAAGCUACAGCUGUUCACAAAAGUAUCGAUCAUAUAUACCGACCUACCUAAUUUUUUUAAAAAAAAUAUAUAUAUAUAUAGUCAGGAGCUGCAAGUACUGACAUGUCCAACAUGAUUAGAAAAAGAGCAUCGAAAUUUACCUAAAAUGGUGCUGAUUUUUUUAUUAGGAAAAAUUAAUUAAGCAUAUCUAAUCUAAUGCAUGAUAUGAAUUGGCGAGAAGCUGUCCAGGGAAUGCGACUGCAAGACCUCCUCAAGAAACCUUGGCAUGGACACCGUCCCUGUCUGCUUCAGACACAGAGAAGAGAAUAGUUCCAGGGCUGAUGGAUAAAUAUUCAUAUGUGCUGCCAAAAGUUUUGUAAAGAAUCAUGUUAAUGCGGGUAAUUAAGAAGAUCCUAAUUUAUCUGUAGCUAUUGGUACGCGAGUCACCACAGCCAUCAUCAUCACUCAUCACUCAUCACUCAUCGCUCAUCGGGGGACAAAAAUGAAAAGCAUGCAUUAACAAAUACUAUAAAAAUACUGUGCAGUCCUUUAGGGGAGAAUCUUAGGAAGUUAGGGGUUCUUGGGAAAUUAAAUACUCUUGGAGACAUGACAGUUGAUGAGAAGAGCUGAUGAGCCAAGAGAUAGAUUACUUGUACCUUCUGGAACGGAAUUUUGUUUAGCCUGUUAAUUAAUGAACAAACAAUUUUAGAUGGAAUACAUCUAAUUCCCGGAAUUUGGCUUGAUGUUUUCCACGGUCUUCGUGUUGUUCAAGAAUAUGGUUCUACAACUAGAAUAUAUAUAUUUUUUUUCACAACUCAAGGAGAUAGAGUAGAAUGAAAGAACAUGAGGAAAUUGGCAACGAAUCCCCUCCCUGGCACUAGCUAGUAGUGUUUGUUAUUUGCACUUCAAUUUGAACUAGAACGCUCGGCCUUCGCAAAGAAUAAUGGAGCCCUGCUGUUGAGAACCGAAGCACUGUUAUCAAUCCUAACGUUUUACCACACCACCUCAUUUGUUUGCUAAAUUGCAUCAUCAACACUUUUUUUAACCACCUUUUUAUUUCACAUACAUUACAUCAAAAAAAUUUACAGCAUUUGUUUCCGAAAAUUAACCUAAAUAAUCCACUAUCCAAACGCAUAUAUUUCUUGGGGCAAAUGCAGUUAAGUAAUAAAUACGGGAUUGUAGGUAAACAAGUCUUUGGGAGCUCAUGAAAACUCUAAAUUUGUAGGGGAGUCGUUUCAAACUGAAGAAAGCGUUCAGCUGUGGGGAGGGGGAAGUAAUAAAAUAAAACGAGUUGAGUGUCAUCCCUGGAAACUUCAACAUUGUGUAAUUUAUCAGCACUAAUAUCAAAUCCAUUAUAUAUAUAUAUAAGAAAAAUAGUAUGAAUUUGCUCGGUGGCCAGCAUUCAGCAAGGACAAUAUCAAUGGAUACUAGAAGAAGAUUAUGUAUGCUGGGUCGUUACGAUGCUAUGCUAUCAUUUUAAUUUUCUUUUUUUUGCGGUAGGUAAUGACUAAUUAAACAAUUGAAGGUUGAAAUUUUCAAAUUUCAAAUACAGAUGGCCAAGCUGAAAUCAAGAGCAUAUAAACAGAGGCAAUAAGACACAGUAUGAUAUUAGUAGGAAUUAGAUUUUCUUGAUUGAAGCCCACUUUAUUGAUUAAAAAAAAAAGUAGAUGCAAUGUUAUUAUAACUUUUUUGGGCAUUAAGUAGGUGUCAUGGUGGUUGGCCAUAUGUGCUACUUGGCCUUUUAAUUGCUUUAUCUUCAAACUCUAUCAUCCAGCCACAAAAAAUACCAAUUCAAGAUAUUGGAAAGAAAAAAAAGGAAAUGAGAAAGAAGAAAGACAAAAGAGCAAUCAAUAAUGAAAGAGGGGACCCUCUCUCUAUCCCUUCCCCCCUAAUGCUACUCCAUAGUAGAUCACCAUCAUCAUCAUCUUCUUCUCCUCCUCCGAUAUUUCUACCCGUUUGUAUUUAAAAAAUUUAUUAUUAUUAAUUUCUGAUGAUAUUAUAUUAACAACCUGCAUAAUCUUUAGUGGAGGGGGACAUUUCCUCGUUUUUCAGCUGUUUGUAUCUUCUGACACACUUUGAUGAUAGCAUUGAUUUUACAUAUAUGUAACGAAACAAAGACACACACACACACACACAUAGUCGCACACAUAAACCCAUCUACAUCUAUAUCUUUCUCACUCUGAAAAGUUCUUAGUAGCUCAUCAAACAACGCAGGUGCCUGGCCUGCCUGCAUCAAAUGAUUUGCAAAACAAGGUCAAAUCACUCCCCUUCUUUGAUCAAUUCGCAGGUACUUCACCCCUCCAAGUCUCCAACUAGCCAAUAGAAAGUAAAAAUAAAAAAAAAAAAGAAACGAAAAAUCCCACAGCAAGAAAGAAAGAAAGAAAAAGGGAGGAUGACAUCAAGAAAUUGGUAAAUCUUUAGCAUACAUGAGGCAAGAGUUCAUAGUAAUAUCAUGUGGGACUGGACUUCCUUUCUUUCCUUGCUUCUUAAUUUGAAGGGAGUGGAAUUUUCCUCCUCCGUCCUAUCGUAACAAUACUAAGAAAAAGAAAUGGUACCUAGCUACUCAAGUGUGUGGAUAAAUGAGUGAAUAAAGAUGAGCAUCUUUUUCUCUACCUUUUUAGCCCCAUCUCUCUUUGAUCUCUCACUCUCUCUCUCUCUCUCCCCCCACCCCCACCUCGCCCUCCAAAACACUGCCCACCUUCACUUCCGUUUUUUCCCUGUCAAGUUGGGAGGGAUAGGAAGAGUUAUUGAUUUGAGUCCGACAGCAGAGAAGUAAAGGGACUACUGAGUGAGUGAGAGAUAUAUACAUAUACAUAUACAUAUAUAUAUCAUCCCAUCUCAGCUGCUACAACAAUCUAUAGAGAGAUAUAUAAAGAUCGCCUAGGUAAGCUUGGUAUAGACUAUAGACAUAAAGGUAUGGCCUCUCUAUGGUCUUCAACUUGAUGCAUCUUUUCUCAUGUAAUUUAGCCAUAAAACUGCAUGCUCUUUUUAACCCCCUCCCUUUCUUUUUCUCUUUCUCUCUCACUCGCAAUCUGAUAUGGUUUUUUUCUGUCACUGUAUCUCAAAAUUCUUCUUACUUUGUUGCAGCAGAUGAUGUUAAUGACGGAACACGUGCCAUACGAGAGUUUCGAACCACAGGGUACGUACCAAUUAAUUUAUGAUAUAUUAACUAUGUAUACAUCAUUCCAGAUAUCUGUCUUUUCUGAUUUUCUCCUCCUCUCCUCUCCCUAUAUGUAUUGUUUCCGACUUUUCUCUCUUCUUCCCAAAUCCCGUGCUCCUUUUCAAUAUCUAAAGGAACCCUGAGUAGAAAUUAUUAGAAUAGAAACUGAAACUGAUGAUCCCAAAUCCCAAGUUAUCAUGUUCAAGAUUAAUCCUGCAGUUUGUUCCACUGAUUGAUCGACCAGCCAGGCGGCUUAGGUAUGGGGACUGUUUAUGUUAAUCAUUGGUUUAUCCUCCUCUGCAAUUUUCAGGCCUUAUCUGAUCAGAAGACUAGCUUCAAGCCUUCCGAGUCUCCACCGUCAAUUUAAGAGCUUUUUAACCUCUUUCGGAACAGUAGUCCCAGCAGCUGGAGGACCAACCGAAUGGGUUGAAUACUAUGUCGACCAACUAGGUUGUUUAAGAGCUUCAUAUGACCAACAGGUACAUACGCGCGUGUGUGUAUAUAUGUGAGUAGCAGCAAGCUAACUCGUAGUAGUAUUAUAUUUCUAUAUAAGAUGUGUGGAUGAUGGAAAUUUUUUUUUUUUUGGUUAUGGGGGUGGGUGUGUAUUCGGGGGUAUUUAACUAUUUAUUGGGAUUGGAUGUGAAAUGAAGUGAAGGCUAACGUAGUCUCUUUCCAUUGAUGUAGUACUAGUUUGUAGGAACAGGAAAAAGAAGGUAAUUCAGCAAAAAAAGAUAAAAGAGAGUCCGAUCACGAUGGCGACGUACUUUCAUGGGAAUUCGGAAAUCCAAGGAGGCGGCGGGGAUCAUGGCUUGCAAACUCUGAUUCUCAUGAACCAUGCUGGCUACGUCGGUGGAUACUCUGACACACAUCAACCGCCGCCUCACGUCCAAGUCCAAGUCCAACCACCAAGCAACUUCGUUUUCCUCAACUCCUCCAACACUCCUGGACCUUCAGCAGCACCUGGAGCCAACUCUCUGAACGUUCCCCACGCGCCACCUCCUCCUUCCCCCACGCAACAGUUUGUCGGCAUCCCUCUCACCGCCACCGCAGCUACCUCAUCCCAUGACCACCAACCUCACGCUGCGUCUGUGCAAGACAUCUCAGCCCUUCACGCCUUCCUCCCUCGCCUCCAGUACAACCUGUACAGCCCAGCCAUGGACCUUGGGGCGGCGCGUGAAGUGUCACGCGCCCAGCAAGGACUCUCCUUGAGCCUCUCUUCUCAACAGCCUGCGUACGGGUCCUUUAGGCCUGAAGGUGAAAUCCCAUCACAGCCUCUGGUUACGGCCAUAUCUCCAACUGGCGGGGAUGACGUGAGGGUUUCUGGGGGAUCAUCCUCCUCGGCCUCGGGGAUUUCCAACGGAGUGAACGGCAUGCAAAGUGUGCUAUUGAGUUCUAAGUACUUGAAGGCAGCUCAAGAGCUCCUUGAUGAAGUUGUCAAUGUUGGCAAGGGAGUAAAAAGUGGUGCGGCAACUGCUAAAGGUGCUAAUGGGCAGGCCAAGGAGAUAGGAGAGUCAUCCGAGAUGACGGCCACUGCCGGAGAAGGUCAGAAUGGAAGAGAGAACAGUGCCAAGCGCAGUGCCGAGCUUACCACCGCCGAGAGACAGGAAAUACAGAUGAAGAAAGCAAAGCUGGUUAACAUGCUUGAUGAGGUAAGGCUAUUUUUCGGUCUGUUGAUGUUGUGCUCUAUGGUGUAGAGAAGCCAAGAUUUGAUUUUGAAAGCAUGCAAGCAUAGUACUAUAAACGAUAAACUGAAAGUGAUUUUCAACUUUGAAGCAACUACGUUAAGGCUUCAACUGUGGUUUAUUUUCUUUUGUUGUGAAAACGGCCCCAAGGGUACGGAAGGCUGAGUCAGGUCUCCAUCACUUUGAGUGGGAUAUCAGAUCUUUGCAGGAGUAGCUAUCAAAUAAUCAUGAUCUCAUGAAAAUUUCCCUUCAAUAAUUCCUUUCUCGAAAAUCUAACUGGAGUUCUCUACCUUACUUUUUAAAAUUUUUUUUUUUUUAACACUACUAUUACUCCGUACUACUGGUUGAAUUUUCCGUAUAAAAAAUGAUUUUAUAACAACAAUGCCAUUUUACAGCGGGGAAGUUACAUUGGGGCCGAGAAAGGCAAAAUCCCCUCUUUUUAAGUGGAGAUAUUGGUGUGUGUAUGUCUUAAAUUCUGUCACAAUUAAUUGUUUGCUUUGAAAUCUAAUAGUAUUCUCAUUGUUUGUUUUAGGUGGAUGAGAUGAAUUGCUUGAGAGUUACAGACGCAGAAAUGAGCACAUUGACAGGUAGGUGGGGAGCUAGGGAUCGAUGAAGAAGAGCAGAAGCUGAACAAGGGAUUGCGCUCUUAGCUACUCGGUGGAAGGGGCGGACAUCUUAGCUGCUGGUAUUAUGUGAAUGAGGGGGCCAUCUGGUAUUGGUCCCUGCACUCUUUUCCACUGCUGAUGACAACACCACGAAAACACGACGGGACGCACACACCACACACACUGAACCCACGCGGCCAUCGUCCCCUGUGAAGGUGCCCCAAGGCCCAGUGACACGAGCACGAGCCAAGAGAUUCAAGGAGUCCCUUCAAGCCUUGGUACGUGCAGUCCAAACCCAAGAGAAACCGGUCAUUGAAGGAAUUGAGUUGGAAUAUCCUUGCACGACUACUAAAAUGCUGCUUACAAUUGAAGAUGCAAAUGUUCAAGCUCCAAACGGCGGGCUUAGCCGCAGUUAAGUACCCUCGCUGAGCCGUACGGGGGUCUCGCUGUCCGAUCAGCGAGUCGGGGGUCCAAGGGGGCGACGCGCCCCUGGCUUGGGGGCCCGGGGGCGCAGCGAAGCCCCCGGUGGGGGUUCGGGGGCAACGCCACCGAAGCUUAUGAUCUAUAGUUAGUUGGGCUAGCUUUCGGUCAAGUGAAGGCCCAAGGGGCUGGCCGAACUUUCCUUGUUAUUUUUCCAGUUUAUUAGGUCUUAGUCACGGCUAUUAAUAGCCUCAAGCCGCAUGUUACAUUCAGUUUUUGAGAGUAUUGAAUAAAAUUUCCAGAAUUUCGUCCAUUCCUUGUGGGAAAUUCCCUUAGCUUGUAAAAGCUAAGUUGAACAUCCUAGAGUUGAUCCUAGGCUGUUCUUGACUUAUCAAUCAAGCACACAUACUUGAUUGUGUCGUCCUCUACCGUUAAAUCUGUUCUUGAGUGGUCCAAGUUCGGGUUCAACUCCGUCAAAUCUUCAUCGUGUUCCUCUAGAUCCGAAGUAGCUUCCGCGUCUCGUAUCAGCUGGUAUCAGAGCUAGUUAGAGGUAUCACGAAUAUCCUUUUUAUCGUUUUUAGAUCUAUUUUAGUCUUCUAAAUUCGUAGCUCAAGUGCUCGGGUUUGUCAAGUCCGAAAUCUGUCUUUGUUGUUUCCUUGUCAGAAAUCUGUCUUGGUUGUUUCCUUGUCAGAAAUCUGUCUUUGUUGUUUAGUUGUUGUCCGAAAUUUUCUGUCCAGUUUUGUCUUGUGUUUAUGUUCUGUUUAAAUCCAGAAAAAAAAAAUCUCUUGUGUUGCAUACCUUAUUGUCAUUCCCUUGAGUCGUUGCUGGAAUUAAUUGCUGGGUUGCCGAAUCUGUUUGCACUUGUUUCUUGAACCUUUGUGUUGUUGCUUUGCAAAACUCGAACAUCAAAACCUUAUUGGGGAAGUCUUGAGCUUCUUGGAUCAAAGAGGUUAAUCUUGGCAGUCUUGAAACCUGAAAUAAACCUUCAACCGUGUUCUUGUUUUCAUGGAACUUUGAUCUUGAAACCAAAUCUGUCCAAGUUGUUUACGUUAAUUGCUGUGAAAUUGUGGUCUAAGCUAGCUGGCUAUUGUGUGAAAACACCCCAACAGAAGUCAAAAAAAAUUUCAAGAAAGACGGCUCUAGUUUCCAAUUCUUGACCAGCCUUCAAGUUUUACCAAAUCUGAUUCAAACUUGGACUUUCAAAUCUGAACAGCCCUAGUCUUGGUCAGCAUUCAAGCCACCAAAUCUGAUUCAAACUUGGACUUCCAAAUCUGAACAACAUCCAAUUCUUGACAGCCUACAAGUUUACCAAAUUUUGUGCAAAAUCUGACUUCCAAAUCUGACCAGCCCCAAAAUUUCGAAUUUGGACCACUUGGGACUCCCAAAUCUGACCAAACUCCACGGUUUCUAAUCUUGGCAACCCCAAGUGUCCAAAUCAGAUCACGGACCAAAAAGACCACGGACCAGCAGCUCAACACAUUCCAGAAAUUUGGGUUUCGGGUAGAGUUUUCUAGGAUUUUCAAAAUUUCAGCAUUCAAGUUAAUUGUCUUACUUUCUUUUGAGUCGUUAGUUAUUGUCCAGCUAUAUUCUGAGUCUUGAGUCGUGUCUAGGUCUUCAGUCAUUCACCUCCACUUAUUGCUACUAGCUUGUGUGUCACUUGUUGACUAGUCAAGAACGUACACUGCGGUGACGCCUCGUUUGUUCAACUCGAGCAACUAGCAAGCCAAGGAAUUGCUUGGUAAGAUUAUUAGAGAGUGAUACACUUGAGUGAAACACGAGUGUGAGUGACCUAUACAUUGUAUUAAAAAAAAAAAAAAAGAGAGGAAAUCGUUUUUGUUUAUUUGUUUUGCAGGUGAACUAAAUAUGUCUAGUGGAGUGGGUAGCCAAACCAUGGACAUCAAACUACAGUUGGAAGCCAUGAUGGGGGAGUUCAAACGAUUGCUUAAGAAUGAAAUUGAACCAUUGCAUGAUCGAAUUGAUCAGUUGGAGAACUCGAGACCUCCACCUACCCCGAGUAAGGGCAAAGAAUCGGCAUACUCAAACGAUGAAGAGGAAGCGUUUGAGGGAAGGUACCAAAAUGAUCAAAGGUUCCAACGUCGAGGAGAUGACACCAUUAAAGGUGUCAAACUCAAGAUUCCCUCAUUCCAAGGCAAGUCGGACCCCGAGGCGUACUUGGAAUGCGAACGAAAAAUUGAGUUAGUCUAUGAAUGCCACACCUAUACGGAGGAGCAAAAGGUGAAACUAGCAGCCGUAGAAUUCACUGACUACGCCUCCAUUUGGUGGGACCAACUUAGACUAAGCCGAAGGAGAAAUCGUGAGAGACCUGUGGAAACUUGGGAGGAAAUGAGGAGUCUGAUGAGAAAAAGGUUUGUUCCGAGCUACUAUAGUUGAGAUCUACACCGUCGGCUACAAGCUCUCAACCAAGGGUCCAUGUCAGUUGAGGAUUAUUACAAGGAGAUGGAAAUGGCCAUCAUGAAGGCGGAUUUGCGUGAAGAUGGAGAGGCCACUAUGGCUCGUUUUCUACAUGGAUUGAGGCCCGAGAUUGCCGAAGUAGUGGAACUCCAACACUACCUCGACAUGAAUGAAAUGCUCGAGAAGGCGGUUACAAUUGAACGACGCCUCAAGAGGAGGGGUACUGCGCGACAAAGCACUACUUAUCCAGCUGGAAAUUGGCGCACUUCUCAACCAAAAAGGGAGGAGAAAGCCGCAGCUCCUUCUUACCCUCCAAGGCCGAAUGGCCUCCCUUCCAAGGCAACGCCCAAGCCUGACUUUAAGGCUAAUAAUGCAGCUACCAAACCGCGUGGUCGAGACACCAAGUGUUUUAAGUGUCAAGGAUUUGGCCAUAUCGCUUCUCAAUGCCCCAGCCAAAGGACCAUGCUGAUGUUGCCAAAUGGGGAAAUUGUAUCAGAUGAGGAAGAGGAGUACGAGGGGAUACCGCCUCUAGAAGAGGAAGAGAAUGAAUCGAGUGAGGAGAUACCUACGCAUGAGGAGAUUGGAUGCCUAGUGGUUCGAAAAGUCCUCACUACCCGCGCCAAAGAGGAGGAACUGGAGGUACAACGGGACAACCUUUUCUACACAAGGUGUCAUAUCAAGGAUAAGGUGUGUAGUGUUGUUAUUGAUAGUGAGAGUUGUGCCAAUGUCGCUAGUCUACUCAUGGUAGAAAUGCUAGGGCUCCAAGUUAUCAAACAUCCAAGACCUUAUCGCCUUCAAUGGUUGAACAAUGAAGGGGAAGUCCGCGUGUUUAGACAAGUAAAAGUGCCAUUCCGAAUUGGCAAGUAUGAAGACGAGGUUACUUGUGAUGUCGUGCCAAUGCAAGCAAGUCACCUCAUUCUUGGACGGCCUUGGCAAUAUGAUCGCGAUGUCGAAUUCAAGGGAAGAGCUAAUAAAUAUGUCUUUACUCAUUGCAAUAGAAAGGUGACACUUGUACCUCUCACCCCAAAACAAGUGUAUGAAGAUCAAAUGAGGCUCCAAAGGGAGUAUGAGCUAGAACUUGAGAGGAAAAAGCGAGAGAAAAGUGAGGAAGAAAAAGGAGAGAGUAGGGCCGAAACCCUAGGGAAGAAAAAGGCAACAAGUGGGUCGGCUAUGAGAGAAGAAAAUAAGGGGAAGCUAAGCUUGCUAGCAAAAGCCAAAGAUGUAAGGCGAGCUUUGUCUUCCAACCAACUCUUACUUGUGCUUGUGUGCAAAGAAGAGUUGGUCACUUCAUCCAUACCCACUGACUCCUUGCCUUAUACUAUUUUACCUCUCUUGCAGGAAUUUGAGGACAUAUUUCCUGAGGAUGUACCUGAUGGACUACCACCGCUAAGGGGAAUCGAGCACCAAAUCGAUCUCAUUCCUGGAGCACCAUUGCCUAACAAACCAGCCUAUAGAAUGGGUCCUGAGGAAACAAAGGAAUUGCAAAGGCAAGUGGAGGAAUUGCUAAGGAAAGGUUGGGCUAGAGAAAGUCUAAGUCCAUGCGCUGUACCAGUGAUUCUCGUGCCAAAGAAAGAUGGAGCGUGGAGAAUGUGCACCGACUGUCGAGCAGUCAAUGCAAUCACGGUAAAAUAUCGUCACCCUAUCCCUAGGUUAGAUGAUAUGUUAGAUGAAUUGCAUGGUGCCAUUAUAUUCACUAAAAUUGAUUUGAAAAGUGGUUACCACCAAAUAAGAAUGAAAGAGGGAGAUGAGUGGAAAACCGCUUUCAAAACUAAACAUGGUCUAUACGAGUGGUUAGUAAUGCCAUUUGGCUUAACUAAUGCACCUAGUACCUUCAUGCGUUUGAUGAACCAUGUUUUGAGACCUUUUCUUGGGAAAUUUGUAGUGGUUUACUUUGAUGAUAUUCUGAUUUAUAGUAGAAGCUUAGAGGAACACCUUGAGCACCUCAAAGCCAUCUUUGCAGUACUUCGAAGGGAAAGGCUAUAUGCCAACCUUAAGAAGUGCACAUUUUGCACUGAUCGUGUUGUGUUUCUAAGAUAUGUUGUAAGUGCGCAGGGCAUUCAUGUAGAUGAAGAGAAGAUUAAGUCCAUCCAAGAGUGGCCAACACCUACCUCUGUAAGUGAUGUGCGCUUUCAUGGAUUAGCAAGCUUCUACCGUCGCUUUGUGAAGGAUUUUAGCACCUUUGCUGCACCUCUUACCGCGGUCAUAAAGAAGAACGAGAAGUUCUUUUGGGGGGAAGCCCAAGUUAAGGCUUUCCAAUUGUUGAAACACAAACUCACACAUGCACCACUCCUUGCAAUACCUAACUUUGAUCUCACUUUUGAAAUGGAAUGUGAUGCAUCAGGUGUAGGAGUAGGAGCCGUACUCAUGCAAGGAGGGAGACCGAUUGCCUACUUUAGUGAGAAAUUAAAUGGCGCGGUCCUCAACUAUUCAACUUAUGACAAGGAGAUGUUUGCCCUCGUACGUGCUUUGGAGACAUGGCAACACUACCUACGUGCCCGGGAAUUCGUCAUCAAAACUGACCAUGAGUCUCUCAAGCACCUAAAAGGACAACAAAAGCUGAGCAAACGGCAUGCCCGAUGGGUAGCCUUCAUCGAGUCUUUUCCAUACGUCAUCAAAUACAAAACAGGUAAGUCUAAUGUAGUAGCUGACGCUUUAUCUCGGAGACACAUUUUGCUCACUGCCUUAGAUGCUAAACUCCUAGGCUUUGAACUCAUGAAGGAGUUGUAUAAGGAUGGCUUGGAUUUUGCCAACGCUUAUGCGAAUUGGGGAAAAUCUGACUUUGAAAAGUUCUUUGUACAUGAUGGGUUCUUAUUUUAUCUUACCAAGCUGUGCAUUCCUCGAGGGUCCAUACGUGACUUACUUAUUCAGGAGUCACAUAGUGGUGGACUAAUGGGACACUUUGGUGUCACCAAGACAUUAGCUGUAUUGCAGGAACACUUCCAUUGGCCUCGCAUGCGCAAGGACGUGGAGAGGAUUGUUGAAAGAUGUGGUGUGUGCCACAAAGCUAAGUCUCGGGUCAACCCAAACGGUUUGUAUACUCCUUUACCCAUACCUCACCACCCUUGGGUUGACAUCUCCAUGGAUUUCGUGCUUGGUUUACCUCGUUCAAAGCGUGGUCAUGACUCUAUAUUUGUUGUGGUAGAUAGGUUCUCCAAAAUGGCUCACUUUAUUGCAUGUCAUAAGACGGAUGAUGCUUUACACAUUGCUGAUUUAUUCUUUAAAGAGGUUGUUCGUUUGCAUGGCAUACCUAGGACAAUAGUAUCCGAUAGAGAUGUCAAGUUUUUGAGCUAUUUCUGGAAAUCUUUAUGGGGUCGGUUGGGAACCAAACUGUUGUUCUCUACCUCUAGUCAUCCUCAAACGGACGGACAAACUGAGGUAGUCAAUAGGACUUUGUCCACACUCCUACGUGCAAUCAUAAAGAAAAAUAUCAAGUCAUGGGAGGAGUGUCUACCUCAUGUUGAGUUUGCAUACAAUAGGGUUGUGCAUAGUGCUACACAAUUCUCGCCUUUUGAAGUUGUGUAUGGUUUGAACCCCUUAACUCCCUUAGAUUUGUUGCCAUUACCUUCUUCUGAGCAUAUGAACUUAGAUGGCAAGAAGAAAGCUGAGUUCGUGAGAUCAUUACACGACAAGGUUCGUACCAACAUCGAGAGGAGGACGGCCCAAUAUGUCCAACAAGCUAAUAAGCACAGGCGCAAGCUUGUCUUUGAACCAGGUGAUUGGGUCUGGUUACAUUUGCGCAAGGAGAGGUUUCCAAAACAAUGGCAAAGCAAGCUGUCACCAAGAGGAGAUCGGCCUUUUCAAGUUAUUGAGCGCAUCAACGACAAUGCAUACCGCUUAGAUCUGCCUGGUGAGUAUACUGUUAGUGCUACAUUCAAUGUUGCUGAUCUAAGUCCAUUUAUUACAGGGGACGAGUACGAUUUGAGGGCAAAUCCUUUUCAAGAGGAGGGGAAUGAUGCGGUUGAGCACGAGGCCCAAAGUGUACAAGUAGACCCUGUGAAGGUGCCCCAAGGCCCAGUGACACGAGCACGAGCCAAGAGAUUCAAGGAGUCCCUUCAAGCCUUGGUACGUGCCGUCCAAACCCAAGAGAAACCGGUCAUUGAAGGAAUUGAGUUGGAAUAUCCUUGCACGACUACUAAAAUGCUGCUUACAAUUGAAGAUGCAAAUGUUCAAGCUCCAAACGGCGGGCUUAGCCGCAGUUAAGUACCCUCGCUGAGCCGUACGGGGGUCUCGCUGUCCGAUCAGCGAGUCGGGGGUCCAAGGGGGCGACGCGCCCCUGGCUUGGGGGCCCGGGGGCGCAGCGAAGCCCCCGGUGGGGGUUCGGGGGCAACGCCACCGAAGCUUAUGAUCUAUAGUUAGUUGGGCUAGCUUUCGGUCAAGUGAAGGCCCAAGGGGCUGGCCGAACUUUCCUUGUUAUUUUUCCAGUUUAUUAGGUCUUAGUCACGGCUAUUAAUAGCCUCAAGCCGCAUGUUACAUUCAGUUUUUGAGAGUAUUGAAUAAAAUUUCUAGAAUUUCGUCCAUUCCUUGUGGCAAAUUCCCUUAGCUUGUAAAAGCUAAGUUGAACAUCCUAGAGUUGAUCCUAGGCUGUUCUUGACUUAUCAAUCAAGCACACAUACUUGAUUGUGGCGUCCUCUACCGUUAAAUCUGUUCUUGAGUGGUCCAAGUUCGGGUUCAACUCCGUCAAAUCUUCAUCGUGUUCCUCUAGAUCCGAAGUAGCUUCCGCGUCUCGUAUCAGAAGGGAGUGGGGAGGGAUGCUUUUGAUUAACAUCCAAUUGCUAAUAACUUGGGAAGAAGCAGAUAUGCGCUACUUCGGUUUAAACAAUGCAGUAGCAUAUGAAGGCAUAUUGCUUGAAUCCUUGUAAUCCUUAAAAAGAUACUAGGACUCCCUCCGCACUGAUGAAAUUAUCAAGACUCAUCUACGUGAUUUGUGAUCCUUCUAUAGACUAGAGUUUAUUCCUGCUCUGCAUUAGUCCCCCAUACAAGGUAUGAGGAAAGCAAUGAAGUCUCUAUCUGUGGACUGUGGAGUUUUGAGUCGAAUACCAUGUUUAAUUGCAAGGCUUAUUUCACAUUGUAUUUGGUUUCGUGGGAUCAUGCCUUAUUGGUUAAUUUGUGUAUACUAAUGCCAAGAAUUCGUAGGUAGAAAAUGCAUAACAGUUUUCCAAUCUUUUCUGUAAUUUGGUCAGUAGUUUUGCCUAGAGUAGUCUGUAUAAAGCUAAUACACUGAUUCUUAUCAAUUUUCCUGUUUAGUCAUAAAUAUUUGUGUUAUUUGUUCACAAAGGUUUUGUAUUAUUGAGAAGGAUUGGAAGUAAUAUGCCAUUAUGCAUUACCAUUUUCUUCCCGAAUGAACUAUUUUCUCAUCAUGUUUCCUGCUCACUAGAAGAUUAUGCGUACUUCUUGUCUGUGGAUUGAAGAUAGUGAACGUAGUCACUUAAUGAACCACGACCCCAAAAUUCUAUUGCUUCAGCUUAAGUGGUUGAGUUUCAUGCUAGGGUUGGAUGUGGUGACGACAAUAUCAGCAAUCCCUACAUAUAAACCAGCUGAAAGAAUCCGACAAUACAAUGAUCUUGCGCAGUUCCUUGGAGAUGAAAGAGCAAAGAUUGCUCGUGCAAUCUGGAAUAGACCCCUGAAGACCCUUUAUAUCAGUGACUGUGGAGAACUCAAUGUCACUAAGCCAACCCUUUUCCGUAGUCUUCCUUAGCACAUUGUUUAUUUGGUCUGUCUCCAUUCUUGCAUGCAGAGUACGCAUUUCUCAUUCGUUGUUAAUACUCUCUGCUCAAUCAAAUUCAUUGUACAUUACAAUUCACAGAAUGAAGAAUAUAAUGUAAAUCUAGGAGACUCUUUGAGUUGACCAUGGUUCAAAGACGAACUCGGCCGAGUCAAUCAUCAGAAUGGAGCUCUCCAUUCCGAUACCAAGACAAGAUGACUGCAAGAUACAUGGAUCGCCGAGAAUUCGGCCGAAUCACUGAGAACUCGGUCAAAAAGUUUCCAACACGGAUAGAAACAGUCGAAUCACCCCGAGUUUAGCACAUUUUGUUUAUAUUAUUUUGUUUCUUUUGCUAAUUUUUUAUUAUUUUUGUUUAGCAUAUUAUUUUAUAUUAUUCACAAUUUUUAGAAUGUUAAAUGAUUCAAAAUUUGCAUAUCACCAAAACUGCGACUGAUAUACCGAAAUUGACGUGGAACGAUUCGGACCGCGAUGGCAACCGUAACCGCAACUUUGAACCAGGAGUUGACAAGUCCAAAGAUAAGCUGCUACAUUAUCUUCUUUAUUCUGACCAUCUUUUCUUUGUGGUUGCCAUUGAGUAGUGGAGGUGCUGAAGGCAUCCAAGUCAAAUUUAACACCGUCCAUCUGCGUCACGUCCAUUCCUGGACUGGACUGGCGGGCCUGGUCUGCUGUUAAUGGUAGCGGACUUUGAAGCAGAGAAAUAAGUGCAUUAAAACGAAGUUUGUAGCUUCUGAAACAAAAUUGGCCCCUCAAGCGAGAAAAUAUGUGCCCGUGACAAUGUCCAACUGGUCCCGAAAACCUAACUUAUUUGGUAGGAACGUUAACCAAGGCACUGUGAGGUAGACACAGGCGACAAUUCUAGAAUUGCAGGUGCGAUUCUUUGGAAGGGUAGAACCAUUACAGUCCUAGAAUUAUUGAUUAUGACAUCUCUCAUAGGACGGCUCUUGUUUACAGUUUCAGAACCCCUUAUUGCGGUUUCCAUUUCGAUUCUACUUCUUCACGGUUCCAGUUUUGGCUCUUUAUGGUUAUGGCUUAGAUUUCUUAUAAUUACCCUUAGUUAGUUAUCGUUACAGAUUUUGAUAUGAAAGUGAUCUGACGGUGAAGAAAAUACGGUGAAGAAAAUACAUUCAGUUCUUGUUUGAUUUAAAUAUGUAGCCCAAUAAGCCCAACACUGGUCUAACACCUGUGGAGUUGUGACCAUUGCCACGCGACCUUGUGAGUCUGUAGAAAAUACUAACAGGGGGCUCCACCGACCCUCCCCCUCCAACAAAAAAAAAAAAAAGAAGAAGAAGAAGAAGAAGAAGAUGAAAGUUUGGAUGAGUAAUUGAUGAGCAGAUAAGAUUCAGAAAGUACAAGAAAGGGGACCACUGACACAUUGCCAAACGGGGCCUUGCUAGAUAUGUCUAAAAAGGUAAAGGCGAUCGUUAUAAACGAGGACGAUCAGGAAUCGCCAAGUAUUUUUUUAUUGCAUGCAUCAAACUGGCAAUGAUGAAGGGCAACACAGGUUUCAUGGAAAGGUUAACUGUUCUCAAAAUUAGUUUUUGACAGUGGGAGAAUGAAGGCUUUGAUGGUGAACGGAAAUUAUGAGAGAGGAGAUCCAAAAGGGACCACUGACAUUUAAGAGUGGUUCUGUUGAUAGCUUUUUUCAUGCUUGGGCUUUGGGAUGCCAAAGUAAACACCGAGAUGGAACUGACUACAGGGAGACAGUCACAAGACAUUAUUGUUUGUUUCAAAUCAUGCUGCCAUAAAAACCAAAUUCGUGUGGCUGAAAGGAAAUUUCUAUGUGGAAAAAAAAUAUAUAAUUAAAGGGAAAGGGACCACGAAGUCUUGAUAGAUUCCUUCCCUUUGAACAAAAAAAAAAGAAUGCUUCUCGAGUGCUCACCAUUUUUCUUGGAUCAUGUUUUUCUUUAAUUAGACAAAAUAACUUUUCCAUUCUCGAGUCAUAAUUUUCCAAAUAAAUCUGGACCGCGACUCAAACCCCACGAAUUUGCCUGCUAAGGACAUUUACGAUUCUAAGAAAAAUUUUUGGGGUAAAUGGAGAUUGCAAAUCCUAUAAAAGAAAAGGAGAGAAAGGAUGCUCGAGAAUCAAACUAAGAAAUUCACGACUAAUCUCCUCUCAAGUACCAUUUAAGUUGGAUCUUAAAGACGGUUAUUAGAAAAUUCGGUCCGGCUAAUGAGUGCCAUUAAGCACGCUUUGAUAGGAGUUUCAAGUAUUAGUUUUUUUAGAACUUUAUAGGAAAGAGUAUAAAUGCAAGGUACGAUAAUUAUUAUAAAUAUACGUGUUCAUGUGACAAAGUUAGGUAUAAUUUAAGCAUUUCAACAAGUACUAACAGAGUUGAUUCCAGCAAAGUUUUACAUUGGAUGAACGCAUGAUUAGUAAGGCUAAAAUGUGUUAGUUUGGGAAGUGAAUCUAAUUGAACAGUUGUACAUAUACUUCCUUGUAACUUGUUACAUUCACCUGUAGUUGUACGAGUAGUUUUGAUGAUACUGCUGGUGCAUGCUAAUUUGCACAAUAAAUAUUCAGAUGGAUUUAGCCCUUUAUGCCCCAAAACGGGAAGAAAAAAAAAAAAGAAGAAGAAAGAUUUGCCUUAUCCUUAUUCUUUGUGUGAAGGGGAUUGGAAUUUCUCGCUUUUCAUUUUCUUCUAUUUUCACUUGUUCCUUCGCUAUGGUUAAUUGAACUAGUGCGUUUUUGUUUUUACGGUAAACAUUUGUUAUCAUUUAUCAGAUUAUAAUUUAUGACAACCAAAGGGCUCUUGGUAGAAUUUUAUCCAUCCAUUUGCCCCGAAUAUUUGGACAGUGAUUAAUUUAGGCACUUUCCCACAAAAUCCAAAGGAGAAAAGCCGCCGCCACAUCCACAUUGACGACUGUUGAGCACUUGAAACUCUCUUUUCUUCCAAUUUUGAGCACCUGCACCCACUCGUCGCAUCACUUUUGGAGAAAGGGUGAAAGCAUAUUCCUUAUGGUGGUCGAUACACUAGGCCGUCACUCCCACUUCCUGAAGAUGACUGAAUUUCUCAAAAUAUAAUAUAACUGAAUGUGCAUACGUAUUUUUUUUUUUUUUUACUCAUUUGCUCUGUCCUCGGAGAGAUUUAAGCCGUCUCCUAUAAUAUAUCUUUUAUUUUUCUUGGUUUUUUCAUUAAUUUAACUCAAGAUGACAUCAAAGGGCUAAUUAUACUUUUCUGGGAGAUGGUAUGACCAUGCUUAAAUAUUAAUUUAUCUUUCCGCCAAAAAAAAAAAAAAGAUUGGUUUGAACGGCUGGUUUUCAUUUUUUUUUUCCCCGGAUGUUGUUAUGGUCCGGAUAGACCAACCUCUUCGUCGUAAUAUGAUUGCUGAAUUCUUUUAUCCCAGGAGAAAAUCUAUCAUAGUUUUCUUUUCUUUUGUUAGGCCACCGAUUCCGGUUCGAAAAUUGCUUGUUUUGAUUUCUUUAAAAGGUAGAACCAGAACCGAGCAUUACAAGAAUGGUUACAGUUACGACGGUUCUGAAACCUUCGACUCCCACCCAGGUAGAGCUGUUAAGUCAAUCGAGUAGCUCGAAAGCUCGUUAGAGCUCGGCUCGUUAAGCCUCGAGCUCGGCUCGUUAAUUUUGGUUAACGAGUCGAGCUCGAGCUCGAAACAUGCUCGUUUAGUUAACGAGCCGAGUAAGCUCGGUUCGUUUGAUACUCGAGUAGCUCGUUAGAGCUCGUUAAUAAAGGGCAUAUUUGUCAUUUUAGAAAUCAAAAUUAUAAAAAUUAAAAAUUAUAGGUUUUUAUUAAGGUUAAUUUGCACGAGCUCGAGCUCGAGCUCGUGAAACUCGACUCGUUUGUGAUAAACGAGUCGAGUUCGAACACAUUUUAAAACUCGUUUUCCUAACGAGCUCGAGUCAAGCUCGGCUCGAAUUAAACUCGAGUCGAGCUCGGCAACCAAAUACUCGGCUCGACUCGGUUCGAUUAACAGCUCUACACCCAGGUUUCAUUUACGAUUUAAACUUGAACCAUGACCCUGUCUCAACAUCGUUCAUAGGUUAUGGUAGUGUUAUACUAGAAAACAUGCAAGCAGUCAAGCAACGGGUCUUACUCAGCGAUUGUAGUAACAAAAUCACGGUACCGGUAUUAAGUGCAUAACUUCCUCCUCACAUGGGCCCAAUUUUCCAGUCUUAUACAACAAAUUUGGCUUGAUCUAAAACACAAAUGUCCUGUGCCCCUUAUGGACAGCUCGGUUGGUCACGAAAGCCUCCUUAGGAACCGUUGUCCAGUCCCACCAGGAUUCGCGUCUCAUGAUGACCGUGUUCGAGGGGUUGGGGCAUCUCCUCUCGGAUCGCAGGGGAUUAGUCGGGUCCAAGGCCGGGAUACCCCUGCGUCUGAAAAAAAAAGAAAAAGAAAAAGAAAAAUAGAACACAAAUGCCCUACGCCUAGAAGAUAUUUUGUUAUUGAAAAUAACUGUUCAUUAGCGCAUAUGCUACACAAUAAUCUACGAUCUGUAUAGUUCGGCCAUGCAUGGGGUGCUGCUGCCAUAUUACAUAAACAAAUGUUUCAUCGUAAGGAUUCCAUCAUCACGAUUCUUAACUAGGAAAGAUAGCUUUCCAGACAAAUUAUCUUCCCUCCCCUUUUUUUUUCUUUUUAAGUAAAAAUUAUCUCUACGUUCGAAGUUGUGCGUCACCAUCGCGCAUGAGAUCUGUCACCAAAUUAAAAUGAAAGGCAAGGGAAAAUGUAGGUUACUAAUUCAACCAAUAUAGGUGUAGAAUAAGUAGAUAAUGACGAAGUAUCAAGCAUUAUUUUUGAUCCUCUGUAACCCCACAAAUCUCAACCAAACAAAAAUUAAGGACACCAAGAAGAUGACAAAUUUCCAGGCUGAGCUAAUCGUUCUACAUUUUCGCGUAGAAUCGGUCAAAGUACGCCUUAAUCAGCUUACUCCUAAAGAGAGAUAUAUAUAUAUAUAUAUAUAUAUAUAUAUAUAUAUAUAAGCGGAACACAUAGCGCUCAAAAUUGAAAGGUACUAAAACAAAUGAAUUGAACCAGACUCUCUCCAUCACUUUCCUCCCCCAACCAUUUUUCUUUGACGGUUAUAACUGUUAAUAAAAAGACCUUUUGUUCUUGCAGAUUGAGAAGUAAUUUAAUUAGUUAUGCAGAGUCUUGUCAAGAGUCCACAGCUCGCUCCGCGAAUAGAACAGAUUGCAUGAGGCGAAGGUACCAGGCAGUUUGGUAAUAAAGAAUCGAAGGAUCAAAUUGGAGGCUUUUGAAAUUCAUUCAGUCUUUUUGCUGCUGGGCAAGCCAUUAUUAUUAUUAUUAUUAUUAUGUUUGGAAGCAUCUUUGAGCUGGAAUUAAACCAAGAAGCCGAUUCUAGAUGUAGCAUUCAAAGUAUUCAUCUUGACUUGCGCGUUCAGCCAAUGCUAAUAGCCUAUUAUUAGUAGUAGUAUCUUCUUCUUAUAUCAUUAGUUAGUUGGCCAAGAACAUAGAGGGUUUCCAUAGGACACUGCACUACAAAUUAAAUGAAUAAAUUGUUAUGUACUAUGUGCUUAUUUUUGGCCUUUUCAGUUCAAGAGGGCUUUGACUUUCACUGCCGCUCUGAUGAGUUAAGUCCAAGUUUAAUCGCCUUCAUGGGAAUGGACCUCUCAAGUUUGAGAGCCCAACUUCAUUAUUGGCCUUUCUGAAAUCAGGCCUCUUCGUACCCCAGUGAUCGAAAAUUUUCAGCGAGUCAACGAUGGUAUGCAGCCCAAUUGAUGAUGUAUAAAACAGACGACCCACCACCGGUGGGCGACUGACGUUCUGCGUCGUCGUUUCUCACUAAAUUAACGUUUAAAAUCCAACGGCUAGUUUAUAGAAUGACCGUUUUGAAACCAAUAAUUCAAAGCGCGACCUCCCCAUGAAAUUCACAAGAAAAAGCAUUUCUCUUCAGACAUUUGAAAAAAAUACGCCCCACAAAUUAAAUCCCUAAAAAUUAUAAACAAAAUCCUCAGCUCAAGAACAAACAUUCAGCCAAAAAAUCCGUCUCAAAUUUCUCUACAAAAUCUGCAACAGAUAAUCAUUCCAAAAUGGUUUACACAUACACUCCUACAUAUUACAGUUCACUCCAAGAUUCAAUAGCCUCUUUGUGCAAAAAUAUCCUUCCAUUUUCUUUCAAGAAAAGGCGGUUGCCUGCAAUCGCUGCAGCUGAGCAGAGGCUAUCAAAGCAGCAGGCUGACAACUUGAAAUGGCAGCAAGAUUCAUUCCACCAGAUACUCAAAUUAAUGGGCCUCUGCAAGGAAGGGAUUUUGCCCGAAACAGAGGUCUCUGCUUUUAGAUCACAUCUAUUAGAUACCCUUAUUGCUUCACCACUUGACCAUGAACAUUCUUCAAUUUUGAGGGAUAAAUUGCUCUUCUUGCAGGUCAGUUCUUAUUGCUGUUUUUCCCCUCUAAGUCUUGAUAGCUUGAUUGAAUUGCAAUGCUUUUGGUUCUUCUUUUAAUGCCCAUUUAGAUUCAUAUGGUGACACUUUUGAAUCCUUAGACAGACAGGGAUGAGUUCUUAACAUUAAUAUAUUGUUAAAAUAACAAGAUAUGAAUGUGCUAGCAAAUCUUACCUUUGAAUUCGGUUUUACAUAAUUUAUGUGCAUAACAAUCGAGCUUCCUUAAACUAAAAAUUGCAGCCGUACAAUUAAUUCAAAUAAAAGAUAUUAUUGGUGUUUCAAGUUACAAUAACGCCAGUUAGUCUGUUUGGGUGGUAGAUUGCGCAGAAUAUUAUUUAAAAUAAUAAUUAUAUCAUUUUUGUAUUAUGAUGUAUAUGAAAUAAAAAGGUGAUUAAAAAGAUAAAAAUAUGUAUUAAAAGAUAUAUUUAUAAUGCAAGUAAAUAAUAUUCUGGUAUAUAAGUGCUAUUGAAACACACUCAUUAAUUAUGGGUUGUUUUUUAUGGAUUGACUAUUAGUUUUAGCUACAAUCAGUGAUCAUCUAUAUUUGGUGUGGAUAAUAAAUACAAUCACAACCUCUUUUCUUCUUCUCUUUGGACGGUGUAUUAUUUGUAUAAAUUUAUUUGUUUGCAUCAUACUCACAUUUUCAACUAUUUUAUUUCAUUUACAUUAUAUUUAAAAAAACGCUACAAAUUUUUUUUUUCAAAAUUUAUUUCAAAUAAUCUCCUAUUCAAACAUGCCUACGUCAUGUUAAAAAGUCAAUUUUGAUAUCAACUUCAAGAUCUAGCUAUAAAUGCAACUUUUUCCAUAUUAACUUGUUUAAUUAAUAGUUUUGUUUGGAUAGCGGUUUAUUUGCAAAUUUUUAUUUGCUUGCAUAUCAAUAUAUUUUCUGACCAUUUUUUAUUUUACAUAUAUUACGUCAAAAAAGCGUUACAAUAUUUUUUUAAAAAAUUAUUUGAAAUAAUCUACUAUCAAAAUUUUAUACAGUAGAUUAUUUUUAAUCAUCUUUUUGUAUAUUAAAUUAUUAUUAUUGUUUUGCAUAUACCGUAUUAUAAAAUAUACAACAGUGGUGUCAUUUGAAAUAAUUUAUUCAAAUAAUCUCCGAUCCAAACGUACAACACACCACCAAAUCUGGUGGGAGAGACAAGGAUCCAAAAAAUUAGAGACAAAAGAAAAUUACAAAUGUCAAAGCGCAAAGGCGGGGACAUUCACGCGUACAUUCUCCCACCCUCAUCAAUGAUCAAUUUUUGUCUCAUUCUUGCAUCUCCGAAACCAUCGAAAAGAAACACGGAAAUGUCGACCCCAUCCCCGCACCAAACAACCAUUUAAAUAAAAUUAUCAGGAAAUUACUACAAACCCCACGUGGCGUUAAUCCGCCCUCCUUCUCAACAAUCCACGCUUGUUAACUCCAAAGUCCUACCCGUGUCCCUCGCCAGUAAUUGAUGUCACAAAUUAAUAAUUAUGUGAAUAUGGAAGACCUUCCCUAUAAUCUUUGUCCCCCCAAAACCAAAAGCCCCCAACUUUUAUCUUAAUUUCCAAAGACAACGGAAAGAGCGACCAUUCAAAAAAAAAAAAAAAAAGGAGCUCAAGGAUAGGAAUGCAAAGAAAAAAGAAAAGGUUAAAAGUUGGAUACGUAAUUACAGAAUGUUUUACAAAAAUUACUAAUUCUUUGAGCAAAUUUAGAUACCAAUAAAUAAAAAUUUUAAGAAUCAUUAAUAACACAUUAUGAUUGAACAACAAAUCAAACUAAUUAAUACUCUAAUAGGUCGAAGUUUGACAAGAGUUCGUCCAAAUUUGAUUCGUAAAUUAAUUAAACUAAACAUGAAAAACAUGUUUGUCGUAUUUGAAAUAUUUUGAAACUCAACUUGAUUGAGAUAAAAUUUGAUAUUUCUAUGUAAAAACUCGAGUUCAAACUAUAAUUUGGUACUCGAUUUGACAAAUUGAUGGAACACACAAACAUGAAUGCGAGGAAGUUUGAUAUGAUUAUAUUCAUUUACUCCCUAUAAGAAGACCUGCACAUAAAUUUUGAACCGAAAACACAUGCAUAAAACUGGUAACAAAAUUCACCACAGUAGACCAAGUGGCAAAAUUUGUUGUUUGGCAUUUGAUCAUACAGAAUGACGAGACCAUCAAUCAUUCUAAUGAUAUUUUACUAGAUUUGACUUGUAGUUUUUUGGAUCCAACGAUGGAGGCAAAGAACCUUCACAAUUACAAAAUUGAUGAUUAUCGUAAAAAAUACUAGUAUAACAAUAAUGUCUAACUAGCCAUACAAAUCACGUCAAAAAAUUACGUUUUUCCAUAUAAAUAGAGAAAUUCUAAACCCUAAUAAUUACUAAUAUUUCGGAGAGCAUGAUACUUCAUGAAACUUUCUCUUUUUUUUUUUCUGAAAAACUAAUCUUAUAUAUAUUAACAGUAUAUAUAUCAACAUAUUUGGAUUCACGUCAUCCACUUAAUUUUAAUUUGAACUUAAACUGUAUUUAUUCACAUCUUCAGAUUUAUACUAGUCAAUUUUAAUUUGAAUUUAGACUUCAUUUUUUUUGCACGUAACAUGCAACUAAAUGUGUUUGUAUAUAAGAGAACACUAACCCCUUUUUUUUGUCUCCCCUUAUGCUGUGCCAAACAACAGUACACAUUUAAGACUGCAGUUUCUACCUUUUUUUUUUUUUUUUUGGUAAUUGCUGCAAUAUGAAUAAAUUUCCGGGAAAGUACUACCAAAGUCUUUCUUUUUUGUAAGAAAGCUGCCUUAAUCCCUACGUCCACGUCUAAGCUAAAGUAUUGCGUUGCAAUAAACAGUAGAAAACAUGAAUACAUGUAUAUGUAUAGGCCCCCACCCCCGCACCCCUCCUCCACCCCAUCCCAUCCAUUAACAGUGUGUGAAUGUAUAUAACCAGGGGAGGGAGGAGGUGCUGGAGAGGUGAAAAGGAAAAAGAAACUACUACAACUACAAACUCCUGUACUACCUAUUUCUACGACUGCCAUAAUAGCAGCAGCAAAUAAAAAAAGUACUUCAGUAAUUAAAAUAGAGGAAGCAACGAGCAGGAGCAGGUAGCUGAGGGGAAUUGGACUCUGAAGAAAGAAAAAAGAAGAAAGAGUAAUAAUUGUAAUGUACAAAUGGCGUACGAGGACCACCACCUCUCCCAUUCUUCUCAAGAAGAAAUGGCUCUCCACCACUUCCACCACUUUACAACUAGUACCACCACAACCGACCCCCACCACCACCAUCACCAUCACCAUCCCACCGCCUCCUCCGUCCUACGCUCUUCCAUCCACUCCCCUCCCGACACCCCUACCUCCGCCGCUGUAGCCGGCAACCCUCCUCCUCCCCCUUCCUGGCUCCUCAACUCCUCGAUUCUCAGGGGGCCGCACCAUCACCCCUCGCAGCAACAGCCCGACGCUGCCGCCACCAGUAAUUUCCUCCACCAGCUUCAGGCCUCCAACGACGACGUCUCUCACCUCGACCACAGCCCCACGGCCGCCAUGAGCAUGGUACACAAGCGGCUCAAGGAUAAUCACGCUAACAAUAACAACGGCAGCGAUCAUCAAGCCCCGGCAGUAAUGGUGAAUGAUGAGUGGGAGAAGGACAAGUGUAAGGCCGAGAUAUUGAACCAUCCCUUGUAUGAUCAGUUGCUUUCCGCCCACGUGUCGUGCUUGAGGAUCGCUACCCCGGUCGACCAGCUCCCCAGGAUCGACGCUCAGCUCGCUCAGUCCCAGCACGUCGUCGCUAAGUACUCGUCGGUGCUCCGGGGUCACGAUCCUCACCAACAGGCUCUUGAUGAUAAAGACCUCGAUCACUUCAUGGUACACUCCAUGCUCCAUUCCUCCUUCCCCCCUUUCUUCUUCGUUGACCCAUGUCUCUUCUAUGUGGACACUGGACUGUCUAAAUUUAAACAUAACUUUUCUGUUUUGGAUUAAGAUUUCAAAUAACUCUCGGUAUUCUUGCCAAGUUAUUCUUCAAGAAUUUGAAUUUCAUUAAAGUUCGAAAAAGAGAUUUUUUCUUCCCUUAAGCCCGCCCUCCUCCUCCUUCUGCUCGGCCGGGGCAGAGGGGUGAUUAAAGGCCUAAUUUUCUUUUUCCAUUAUGUUAUUCGAGUUGUUAUAGGUUGCAGAUGUUGUGUGAUUGAUCAUCAUAACUUGAGUUUUUGGUUGCAUGCAUCUGAUUAGGUGAGAGAAACAGAUUUACUACGCACACAUAAUUUUGUUAAUUUGUGAUCCUAAUGAUUAGAACUAACUGGUAAAAUUUUGAUCUUUGGUAGAACUUUUUCCUUCUGAAUUUAGUUUUUAGUCUUCUGUUGAAUUGUAGCACGGUUGUGGUCUGGAAAACAGGCAUAAUUGAAUGAUUGGAAGCUCCUAAUUUCUGGAGAUUUACUAGUAUGUUGGUUUUUAAAGAGUUGAGAUUGUCGUCCGUCCAUUGAUUGUUAUAACGAGCGCCUUCGUAUUUAGUGAGCUUAGUAAUGGACUAACUAUCUAGGUAGUAUUACCUUUUCAUUUAGGAUAACACGAGUAGGAGAAUUGGAAUUUCUGUAUCGUGGAGUCUUUCAGAUUCAGGUGAAAAACUUGUAAAGUUUUCAUUUUUUAUUGGGUUCCUCUGUAUUGGUUCUAGUCCUAGUAUUAGUAUGUAUAAUGUUGCAUAAUUAUCUUCUUAUGUCCGCAAUUCUGUUUGUGACUGCUCAGCAUGUGGGCCGUUUCCUUUUCUUUCUUGCUUUCUAUCAUUUUCUGUUGAUUUUUUUUUUUGGUGGGGGUGGGGUGGGGGGGGGGAGAGACCUAAUAAGUGUGUGGGAGAACAAAUUCUGGGUAAGGUUGAAGUUACUUAUGAUGGUUAUGGUUUAUGCUAUGAAAGAUAUUCAUGGGAGUAAAAGAUUGCCGUCGGAAUAUUACUGGUUUUAGUUGUGACACCAAUUGGAAUAUCUAAGUGUCGCAUCAAAAGAGGAAUCACGUUGUUCUCAGUACAACAAUAAUUGAAGCUUCAUUUUGGCAGUGUUAUGGGAAUCUCUUUGUUGAUGUAAUUUGUCAGUUAUGUUCCUGUCUUGCAUUUAUUGUAUUGUGCAAGUUGUUUUAAAUCGUUUGAAAUCUGAAAAUGGACAGCACGAAAUAUCUACAAGGAGAACUAUCAUAUGGAAAGCAUUUCCGUCACAAAAUUUAACAGAUGGAUAGAUUCAAGUAUGAAAUUCAUUCUAGAUUACUGAAUUUCUCCUAUGAUGUAAAUGCCAUACUUCCAGAUGGAAUCAUGUUUAUAAAGACCAAACAACCCAAAAAGUGUAAAUGUAAAUAAUCUGUAAAUAUCUCUGUUUUGUUUGAUAAUGUGAAAAGUCUAAGAAUAAUUUGUGAUGUUUUCCAAUGAUAACCAACAAGAAUGUAGCGCAAAGAUGAAUGACCAGAAUAUGCAAAUUAAGCUGCUAAUUUAAAUUUAGAAAUCUCCUGGUUUUAUCUGCUUUCUUUAUCUUCUUCUUUCUGCUCCACCACCUAUAUCAUUUCAUACAUUGAUGUUCUGCCAUACCCCACUAUUAUUUGGUGUUUUAUGUUUCCAGGAAUCAAUUUAUGGUUUUCACAUGUCCUCUGGCCUUGGGUAUCUACUUUAUGUUUUAAUUCAUGUCUGAUUUGUUCUUUAUGAACCUUCACGUUCUUUUUUUUUUCGUUUUCUUUGAUUUCUUCUGAUGUAGACACAUUAUGUUCUGUUGCUCUCUUCCUUCAAAGAACAACUGCAACAACAUGUCCGUGUUCAUGCAAUGGAAGCAGUCAUGGCUUGUUGGGAGCUUGAGCAAUCUUUGCAAAGCUUAACAGGUAUGAUUUAUUUAAGGUUCUUUUCCUCAUUGUUUACCUGUAAUCGUUGACUCAUCCCAAUAUGAGGUUUUACCAAAAGACGCUUUAUCAGCUUUCAACUAUGUGUGAGGAUUGCCUUUAAACUUCAUUCUGUGAUCCUUUCUACUGUAAUUUUUGCACUGGAAACAAUCUUAUAUUCACCAGAUCCUGUAUGCCAUAAAUUAUGAUGCAAAGUAGCAAAUGGCAUCUACCUGCAUUUCCACCAAUUUUCCAUUUUGAAAGUUGGGUGAGGAGGGCAAUACCUCAUACCCUUCAAAAUGAAUCUUUCGACUUAGAACUAGCAAAUCCAGGUAUUCAUUAGUUCGGUCCUCAAGCUAUGCCAAUCUAGUUAGCGAAGUCUCUGGUUUUUUGAUCAUUUAUAUUGCCCAAUUAUGCUAUGUUCUUCUUGAUGUUCCUUCAUUCUAUGUUCUGUGUUGAGAACAUCAGAAAAGCUGCUUUUGAAUCUUUACUGGGUGGUCUUGACAUAAAACAUGCAAUGCAUAGGGGUGGCGCCCAGUGAAGGUACGGGAGCUACUAUGUCUGAUGAUGAUGAUGAUCAGGCAGAUAGCGACACAAAUUUGUUUGAGGGAAGUUUAGAUGGCCAAGACAGCAUGGGAUUUGGUCCUCUUACGCCUACUGAAAGUGAAAGGUCUCUGAUGGAGCGAGUUAGACAAGAACUGAAACAUGAACUCAAACAGGUGAAAUGGUGGAGUACAUUGAUUUGCCAUUGUCAUACUUUAGCUUUACCUAGUUGGCUGCCACCAAACAAUUAUUUGCUUCACAGGGAUACAAGGAGAAGAUCGUGGACAUCAGAGAAGAAAUUUUACGUAAAAGAAGGGCGGGAAAGCUGCCUGGUGACACCACAUCCCUCUUAAAAGCUUGGUGGCAAUCGCAUUCCAAAUGGCCUUAUCCAACAGUAUGGAUUGCAAAACCUCUCCUGGCUAUGAAUUUGAAAACCAUGGUCUAUUGGGCAAUGCUCUGAGACUUUAUAAUAUUCUUGUAGGAGGAAGACAAAGCCAGGCUAGUGCAGGAAACUGGGUUGCAACUAAAGCAGAUAAAUAAUUGGUUCAUCAACCAAAGGAAAAGGAAUUGGCAUAGCAACCCUUCUUCAUCCUCUUCUCAAAAGAGCAAGCGCAAGAGGUACACCGAUUGACUUUCAUCCUUUUACAUAGUUCAUGCUUCUUAGGUCGCCUUGUCAAACCUUGUAUCUGGAAAAGUAGUGCAGGUGAAAAAUCCAGCAACGAGCAAUUUAUGUGAACCAAGGAAUUCGUAUUGAAGAAAAAAAUGUUGCAUCUUUUCGCCCUAGCAGGUUGAUCGACUAAAUUGCUCCAGCAGAUAGCCAGCUUUGAAUUGAAGAGCUGAUCCAAUUGACCAUAUGUCUGAAGCUGUUCAGGAUUAUAGAAGCAUAGCAAGCUGAUAGAACUCAGUAGUGAUCGACGACGUGAAAUAUGAGAUAGGAAUACAGGUACCGGGGCACAUGCUCUCUGUUGUAGCAUUUAUCUUUUUGGAGGUUGCGUAGGUGAACGUUGUGUCUCUUGUAGACGUACAGUUUCAAUUCAGAUCAGUUUUGUUUUCUUUGUACCACGUAGUGGUGGCACUGUGAUUUUGCUCCAGCUCGUGAUGGUUGUGAAUAGAAAUUGCGGGAGGUUUCGUGUAGAUUAUAAGUCAGCUGGCACAAAAAGGCGCUUGUACGAAAUAAUCUGACUUUUACCACCGGAGUCUUGAGCUUGUUCAAGAUCAUGCUAUGAAUUAUUCAAGAAUUAGAUGCAGGGCCGGGGGACAUAAUCAGGAAGCGACGGAAUGGUUAAACCCCCAAAGGUUUUUGCACUGAAUUUUCAUUGUUUCAGUUAAAUCCGCUGCGGUCUGGCGUGCUUUUGCAAGCUAACUGCUAGAAGCCCGGAAUUUCUAGGUUGCCAUGUGAUGUGCAUGUCUAUCGCAAUUCUUGACCGUGACUAGGCUGCCGUGGAGGAGGACGGAGGACUUCGUAGAAUACUAGUAGUUUUGGAUUGAAUUUUUUACGUAACAUGUUAGGCAACAGCGAUCCCAAACAAGACAGGAUCUCGAAGGCAGCUGCAAAAAAAUUGUCAGUAUUAAACACGGAAUAUGAGAACGUUAACUGUGGAUGAUGGAAUCUCUGCCGGGAGAAUCCAACUAUUUCACAAGACGCUGGUCGCUCAAAAAGCUAGUAACCUUUACAGCGUGCGCAAAUCAAUCAAAUCUGACGAGAAGUCCCCAGUUUGAGGGACUGACUAAGCAAAGCUCUUGUUUUGUACUAGUUGCUUCGAUGCUACUGUUCUCGCUUCCAAAUAAAUUAUUUAUCUGUCUUCAUGAAUCAUGAGUAAUAAUAAUACUACUAAAACCUGAGACAAGAUAAACGUACUUUUGAUACCAGGAUAUGUCCUUUUUUGUUUAUGGCUGAUUGGAUAACCUACUUAUGCCUUUCUUUGUCACCACGUUCCCCACCAGGGCCAAGCUUCCUUGAUGAUGCGUCUUGUGGCAUAUGCCGCCAAGACUAUGGUUGCUUGUCAAUUUACGUCUUCUUCUUCUUUCUUAUAUAUAUAUUAUUUUUUGGGCAGGGGCCGUCGACUUCUACUUUCUUGCCGUGUAAAAAUAAAAAAUGGGUUUAGUGGGCGCCGUGGAUUUGGUCAAACAAUUUAUUAGCUGGAGACAACUGGAGGGAGACCUUGGACCGGUCUAAACAAGGCGGCGGCUGCAAUGCAUAUGUUAAUUAUGUCUGGUCUGGGCCCAGGAGCGCUAAAAUCGACUCGGACAGACAAUAAAACGUGAGGAUCUCUAAUGCUACUAACAUUCCAAGACAGGCACCAGGAAUCUUUUACUAUUCGCGAUGGCACCAUUAUCAUCUGAUAAAAAUUUGAAGAAAACACAAAUUGUAGAUACCUUUGCUGGAAUGGAAGGGACGGAAAAAGGAAAGGAUACGUGAAUUGAAGGGAACUCUUAUCAAUCAAUGAGUUAACAGAAAACCAGCAACCACUAAAUAACCAACGAUCACAAAAGAGGAGAAGCUGCAUUUCUGUAAGACAGUAAUAUAAUUAAAUACAAUAAUAUUUCACACGCACAUUUGAUGAUCAUCAAGGACUCGCAGACGUUCUCUGUUGAUUGCUAGAUAAAGGAGCAGAAAAUCUUGAUGAAAAACUGACGAACAAAUCAUCCUCCUCCUCCUCCUCUUCGCCAUCAUCAAAGUUGAGUGCAUAGCUGUUUGGGGUGUACAUGGAUUGAGUCGUAGAUUUCUUGGGCUUGACGUACUUUCCGAUCUUCCUGACAAGGUUCUUCCACUUAGGUCCCGCCACAACCUCUGAAUAUUCCUUCAUGUUCUUCAGCUUGUCCACGAACCAGGAUUCCUCGUGGCCGCUAUUCUCUCGCAGCAAAUAUUUGCUCUCUUGAUUGCUUCUUUUCCAACCUCCAAAUCCAAAGCAGCAGCAGCAGCAGCAUCCACUUGGGGAAGCUACCUCCUCCUCCUCCCGGUCAUGAUGCAGGCCUUCUUGUUCAUGCUCUCUUAUCGCUGAAUAUGAGCUAGUAAAGGCCUGUUUCUGCUCAGCUCUGGCCAUAUAUAAAACUCUAGCUACUCUUCUUCUUCUUUUUUUUUUUUUUGGGCUUCUUGUCCUUGUGAUUGAGAAUUUGAUCACAAUGAAGCUAGUUUGUAGCUUAUAUCCGAUGGUCGGAUGAGAGGAGGAGGAGGACCUGAGAAUAUAUACGUUUUAAGUUUUGCAUGCGGUUCGUAGUUGUGGCCGUGUCAUGCGUGUGAUUUGUGCGUUAGCUAAGGGCCGGCAAAUAAAUAUCCAUCUCUAACUUGCCUUUUGGAAAUUUAAUUUCAAUGGCACUACAAGGAAGCACCCGCGCCAGGGAAGAGAACUUCAGAAAUGGAACUAAAUGAAUUGAGAAGCGGGCGUUGACUAGUAAAUGCGACUCUUCUCCGAGAUAGGGACACAACAAUCAUACAGUAGUCAAUAGUCAAUAAAUGUAUUUAUUUAUUUUAAGAAUGUAAGCGCGCAUAAGUAAAACUGGCUCAUUAUUAAAAAAAAAAAAAAGAAAGUAAAACUGGCUCCGUUCACGACUGGAUAAGGAUUAACUUGAGUUUAAUGAUAGUUUUUUUUUUUUUUAAUAAUCCACAGGAAUUCACAUCCGUUAUAUGAUCUGUGACUAAUUCUGUUCGAUCCGCGUCUGAGUCUCUUGCAGGGGAGGCUCUCUCAACAUGUUGUCUCUUCCAUUUCCAUGAGUUUUGAACCUGAAAUUUCAAGAUUAAGGGAUGCAAGUCCCUUUUGCUUGCAUCAACAUCCGUUUUUGGAUACAUUCCAUGUAUAGUAGCAAUUCUCAAAUACUGUUGCUUAACUGAUCAUAUAUUUCAACGGAGUUAAUUAAUCCCAGAGUAGAAGUCUUUGUAUAUUUCCUUCAUUUACAUCCAUGGCGUGAUCCCUCAUCCAUAAUAAUUCCAAUAUAUACCACUGGCGGAGGCCGGCCCAUUACCCAAUUUAUCUUCCAAGCGAAGAUAUAUAUAAUUUUAGUACAGGCUGCUGCCACCUGCUUUUGCGAUGCGUGGGAGGAUAUGUAUUCAUAUUUUGAUUUUCAUUUGACAAGUUCCACGUCUUAUCCGACACAAAAAAAAUAUUUAACUUUUAAAUAAAUAAAAUCUUACACGUCUUAGGGUGCGUGCAUUUGAUAAAAAUCUGAAUUUUUUUUAAAAUUAAAGUCUGAAAUUUAAAAUUAUUAAAUUAUUGAAUUGUUAAGUAAUAAGGUCCUGUUUGAUAUGACUGCGACCGUGUUAAAAAUUAACACGAAAAUUGCAAGAAGAAGAGAGAAAAUCUUAGCUGCUGCUGCUGAGAUAACACGUCCAUAUGCAUCAUGCUAAAAAGUGUUUGAAUAUGUGAAUGAAUGUUUACAAAUCAAUAGGUCUGUUCCCUUACCUGGAUCCUUCUCAUGUGAUUACUUCGAAUAUGACUGGAAAGACCACUGACAUUCAUUCCUUGCCUCCACAAUAUUUCAGUUUUGUGUUAAAUUUAGCCCUAAAAAAUUAGCCUUCAAAUAUCCGAAUACGUUUCUUGUUUUCUCUCAUACCGCAGGUCAAAUCAACCUGAUCUUCUAUAUCAGAGGGAACAUAAAGAACAUAUUUCAAUUAGUGGAUGCUAAUUAAGACGUUCAAUGCUCAGAGAGAAUUUGAUUGGUAAAAUAUUAAUAAUUCAGAUGAGCUUAGCAACAAAUUUUGGAGGACUUUAUAGAACGCAUCUUUUUUUUUUUUUUUGGCUCAAGAGAGACUCUACAUUUUUUUAAAAAAAAUUUCUGGUGAUUAAAUCCGACUGCUUAACGGCUUCAGAGCUAUUAUUGUUAAUCAGUAGUUCUAGACUGGUAGAGUUUAGAAACCUGAUGAGAAAUCACUUGAGAGAGAGAGAGGGAAGUCAAAAGAAAAAAUUGUUUCCUCAAGAAAAGAAAAAGAUAAAAUUAUGUUGUCAUCAUUACUUAUUAGUUUAAUCAAGUGGAGAUUAAAAAUUGAAAGCUACCUGCUGCCCUUUGAAAAAAAAGGAAAAAAAAAAAAAAAAGGCCUACCAGCAAAACCUUACUUGACGUCAACGCAUGCGGACGAGUGUGGAAUUAGGAUUGACUUAAAUUAUGUGGCUGAAUGUUGAAACAUCCACUAAAAGACAUAAUCAAUUUCUGGGUUUAGUCAUGGAAGGAGGCUAGAAAUUGCUAGCUAGCAGGUAACAGGUUCCUUUCGCAUGAAUAAUCAAAACUUUGAACGAAACCAUAAACAACUUUUUGCCUUAGCUUAGCAGGCAACAGGACCAGUCUUUACAUCAACAUCUACUAGUAAUACACAAGAAUCAGGGCUUUCUCAGAUUAGCAGGGGUCUCUGGUAUGAAAUAUAUUGUUGUUUGCUUGCUCAAUGUAAGGUUUGUUUUUAAAAUUAAAAACAAAAAAAAUUUCUAGCAGAUGAGGAUAGAAUUUAAGAAGCUGUGAGGAGAAACGGGGAUUUGAAAAUCCUGACAAGAAGUCUCAAAAGUGCCAAGUAUCGCAGUUUACUUUACUACCACAAUCUUGUGGCAGAUUUGCAAUGUGACAUAAUUCUUGUUUGUGCCACUGAUCCUGAAGUUUCCUCAGUAUUCUUGGUCACUUAAAGCAACUUAUUUCGGAGACUUGGUUCCGUAUAUAUAAUCCUCCAUAACGCAGCUGUUGCAACUCCAAAAAUUCUUGCAAUCCGAAGAGCAGCAGCACAGCCUUCUCCAAUAAUAAUCUGAGACCCAACACUUCGACCUGUGGGCUGCAAUUGAAUGGCAAAUCUAAGCAAGGCACCCCACUUCUAAAAUCUCAGAACAAAAGGACCAUAUGUCCACUAAUAAUGGCGAUUAUACGCAACCCACAAUGAAUUUCGACAAAUAUUCAUGUUACGUACUCAAAACAGCAGUUACAUGAUAUGACAGCAAAGUUAUUCAUGUACGUCCUAACCCUUGUUCAAUAACAGCAGUCAGCGAACUGCAUCUAUACAUUUGAAAGCCACGUUUCAAACAUCUAGAGUGAUGUACAAAGCAAGACAUGCCAGACUAGAUGUGCUGAAGGCUACUAUUCGCCAAAUGAAAGGCACAAAAAAAAAAAAACCAAAUUUUAUUCCCACCACCUUCCGCACUAGCAAUCAUAUCCAUGCAUGAUAUUCGGCUGAAGUUGUACGGUAGUUGCCAUUAACACUCUACAUAUUGCCAGAAAAGAACACCAAGGAUCAAUGACGGAGCCAAGGGGGCAGAGGGGGGCCAUGGCCCCCCUAAGUUUUGAGAAUUUUAAUUCAUAAUAUGUAAAUAUGUGUGUAAAAUAAAAUUGGCCCCCCCUAAAUUUUUUCAAUUUUAGUUUAUAUUAUGAGAGUUGAUAUAUAUAUAUAUGAAUUAGUCAUCUUUGAAUGAAAUUUCAAUUUUGGCCCCCCAAAAAAAAAAUCCUGGCUCCGUCACUGCCAAGGAUAUAUAUACCAACUGGACCCGGAAUUUCCUGAUCCUUUCUUACUAACCUAUAAAAAAGAAAUGCAUAUCAAAGUUGAAAGUAACCUAAUUUUGUAGCAAAGACGACCCAUUUUGAGAAGGCAAAAGACAAAAAAGAAAGUUCAGUAAGUACAUUGCCUGGACGACUGUGGAUACUUCGCCUGUGUGUGAUUGAUUCCACAUUAGAUGCAGAUGGCCUAUUUACUAUUUAGGAUGGGCCUGGAAAACAAGUUGCGAGCUUUUGUUUCAAUUGGAUUAUGGAGCACCACAAUGGUUUGCAUUGCUGAUGAGUGAUGAGCCCACUAUCUAAGUUCGGCUAGAGGCCAACCAAGAAGCAUGUGGAUUGCGGAAUUUCUAAUUGCAUUUACUCCAGUUACGUACCUUUACAUGAACAAUUUCAGAUUGAAUAUCGUUCUCACGGGAAUUGUGGUCAGUGACAAUGCGUUCUAGUAUUACAAUUUUCACCACAAAAAAUAAAUAAAAUUAUAAUUAUUCAGAGUAUAACUUUGAGACCAAAAAAACAAAAAAAUAUUUAAAAAAUAUGUUCACGAAAAAUGUAAAAAUUUUGUGACAAAAAUCACAAUCCAGUAAACAAUUCACCUUUACGUGAAGAGCACAACUGGGUGAAGUUCUUUAGUAAUGAUGAUUGCACUUUAAUUAUUAAACUCACGCUCUUCAGCUGGCAAUCAUGGAAGAACACAAUUAGCCACUCGUAAUAAUAAGUACUUGAAAGAGUUGUGCGUAUGGAAGAAUCAAAAUUGGUAUGGUGAAAGUCCAUCACCAGCGGCAACAUCCCAUAACAUCGAAAUACAAAUGGAUGGUGUUGUGCUGGAGGGACAAUAAUUAUAACAACAAUGCCAUUUUACAGCGGGGAAGUUACAUUGGGGGCCGAGAAAGGCAAAAUCCCCUCUUUUUAAGUGGAGAUAUUGGUGUGUGUAUGUCUUAAAUUCUGUCACAAUUAAUUGUUUGCUUUGAAAUCUAAUAGUAUUCUCAUUGUUUGUUUUAGGUGGAUGAGAUGAAUUGCUUGAGAGUUACAGACGCAGAAAUGAGCACAUUGACAGGUAGGUGGGGAGCUAGGGAUCGAUGAAGAAGAGCAGAAGCUGAACAAGGGAUUGCGCUCUUAGCUACUCGGUGGAAGGGGCGGACAUCUUAGCUGCUGGUAUUAUGUGAAUGAGGGGGCCAUCUGGUAUUGGUCCCUGCACUCUUUUCCACUGCUGAUGACAACACCACGAAAACACGACGGGACGCACACACCACACACACUGAACCCACGCGGCCAUCGUCGAUAGGCUCGAAUAUGCUUAUUCACAUCGUACUCAAGCCAUUAAAUGGUUCUUCAUCAUCAUAUGGAUGUAUUAUGCCCAUCUGGUCCGUCCGGCGGUAAUUCUGUUUCCAUCGGACUUCCCUCUUAAUUAGAUUAGAAGAGUAAGAUAUACUACAUAAAAAGUGACGAUUCACCCAAAAAAAAACAUGCUGCUCAUCCAUGAUUCAUAUCCUUGCCACUCUUUCCUUGUCCACUUCCCAUUCUCUGAAAAUUACCUAUUUAGUGCCGCCACCAACUCGUGCUGAGCUUACAAGCAAACUUUUCCAAUCCCAUUUUACCAUGUGGCUUUUAGGCUCCAUAUCUUCUUCUAAUUAAUAUAUUAAUAUUGCUGCUUUUCCACUCCAGGAAUAUUAUAUAGCAAUUAUAGCUUAAAGCAGUUUUACUUUUAAUUGAAGUACUGUCCAUAAAUUAGAGCUGUUAAGUCAAUCGAGUAGCUCGAAAGCUCGUUAGAGCUCGGCUCGUUAAGGCUCGAGCUCGGCUCGUUAAUUUUGGUUAACGAGUCGAGCUCGAGCUCGAAACAUGCUCGUUUAGUUAACGAGCCGAGUAAGCUCUGCUCGUUUGAUACUCGAGUAGCUCGUUAGAGCUCGUUAAUAAAGGGCAUAUUUGUCAUUUUAGAAAUCAAAAUUAUAAAAAUUAAAAAUUAUAGGUUUUUAUUAAGGUUAAUUUGCACGAGCUCGAGCUCGAGCUCGUGAAGCUCGACUCGUUUGUGAUAAACGAGUCGAGCUCGAGCCACAUGUACAUUUAACGAGUCGAGUUCGAACACAUUUUAAAACUCGUUUUCCUAACGAACUCGAGUCAAGCUCGGUUCGAAUUAAACUCGAGUCGAGCUCGGCAACCAAAUACUCGGCUCGACUCGGCUCGAUUAACAGCUCUACGUCCAUUCUAUGACGAUGUCAUUUCUUCUUUUGUUUGGAAAUGGAUAAAGGUUGGAUGACAAAAUAAUAGUACUAGGAUACAAAACAAAACCCCAAAUUCAAAAGUCACGAUAUCUUUUUGCUGUCGAGAUGAAGUCAUGGAAAUUUGACUAAAGCGUCACCUUUUCAAGCAGUAGUGUCUUUUUUUUUUUUUUUUUCAACAAUCGGAAUUACUGGAACAAAUACAAUAAAGUAAGAUUAACACUCAGAAAUAAUCGAAAUCCUGGUGCAAAGCACAAUCUAAGGUGGAGCCUACAAAUCAACACCAUCCAGCCAAUUGGUAAGCAACAGUGUCUUUUGCUUGCGUGAAUUUUGAUCUUUGUUGGAACAAGACUUAUCACCCUUUUAUUAUUAUUAUUAUUUUUGUUUCUACAUAUGAAUCUAAGAAAUCAGGAGGGUUAUCUUAUAAGAUAUGCUACUUUAAACAACAUUUGGUUAAAGCUUUGCGUAAUAAUCGAGUGCGUGCAUGUUUAUUGAACAUUGAUGUCGGUGACUUGGUUCACAUUGGUAGGUAAAUCUGUAUCUUUGUACAAAUAAUAUCUUUGUACAUGAUCCAAAUCCAAGUAUAUAUAAUGUUAAUUAUAUAGUCAGCUAGCUAACUUAAAAGAGUCUUAGACUUGCCAUUUUUGCUACAACCUUUUGUUACACCUACUUGGCAACUCGCACCAAGUAUUCUUUUUCUUUAGGAAAACACUUUUUUUUUUAUUAGUUUAUGAGAAAAAUUAAAAAAGUAAUCGCACAUAAUCGUACUAAAAUUCACCUCUAAUAAUACACAGUACAUAGGAUUUUUGUUACGAGUGUUUAAUACACAAUUAAACUAGUCUAGAACUAACCUAACAUGUGAAUUGACCGACCGACCACAUUUAAUGCAUCCUGUAUUCUAACACUUUUUUAUUUCACGAGAUGUUCAUGGCAAACUGAAGCCAGUAGGAUCACUUGAUACUUUGUCCAACACUACUUUGUACAGCCACUUAGCCUCCUUGCGAUGAAUCUUUCUGCAUUGUUAUCUGUCCGAGUUUCAAAUUUGAGCUAAGCAGCCCGGCCAAGAUCUUCAUUCCAGAUAAGACUGCUGAAGGACUAGAUUCACACAAACUGAUCAUGGUUCCCGGCUUUGAAUACUAAAUCCUACAGCUCAGAACCAUUUAUGUCUUUAGAUCCGCAGGAGAUUGGCGGUCGGCUCCAGCUCGACAGAUUUACAAAUACAGCUGAUCUUUUAAAUUUCACCAUUUGGCUCAUAAACAACUACAAGCAAAAUUAUAUACACUACACCAGCACUUUCAUUCUCCUGUGUACUCUAUUUCCAGCAAAGUUACUUAGUACCAAUGGCCUUAACACUUCCUAUCUGAAUCCUCUCCCCCACCCCCCCCCCCAUAAAAAAAAAAAAAACACACACACACACACACACACACACGCACGUAUAAGGCUGGUUGAAACUCGCAAUCCAAAAUUUGGAAGUUGGAGAAGAACCCGGAUCCCAAAAACUUCACCAGCAACGCCAUAAAUCUACAGAAAGCUACUAAAACGAAGGAAUGUCGAACAGAACAUUCCGUACAGGUGUGUACGGCAUAUCCAGCCUGCCCAAAAUUUUUUUUUUUUGGGACUUUUUUAUGCUGAGCCUGAGCAUAAAUGAAAACCGACUACCAAAACACCGAAGAAAGAAUUUAGUAGGAAACAGAAAGAUCUAUCAAAUUCAAUAUAUUAAACACUCUGAUGUUUCCAUGAGCAGAAAAAGAAACAUAAAUUUUUUACUCUGUACUGCUAGUAUUUCAUCUGCAGCUAAUAGCUGCGAUUUCUCUUACAGCAGGCAAGGCUUCAACUGGCUGGGAAGGAGGAAGCCUGGCGGAGAAAUUCCUCAACGGAUAUUCAUCGUCCUCGUCGAACCCAUCUUCGAAAUUCAGCGAAUAACUCAGCGGGUCGUAUCUGAAUUCAGCAGACGGGUGUCUUUUAUGUUGCCUGUUGAUUCCAUUUCCAACGCGGCCGAAAACCAUCAUGCACUUGUCCUUUAUAUCGUCUUUCAAAUCAUGGGCCUUCCUUGCUUUCAGCCAGAGCAAAGUGGGCUUGUCAUCUGACGGCAGAGGAGGUGUUGGCGGUCCCGUUGGAGAGUCUAGAACCUGGCGAUGGCCGUGGUGGUGGCGGCGGAAGCAGCAGUAGAAGCAGAGCGAGUCUUUGAGCUUGGAUUUGAGUGAAUGUGGAGAGGCUGGGUUGUGAUCGUCAUCCAAUUCCAUUAGUCUAGAAUUUCUUUCCUUUAUUUUCUCUUCUAGUGUGUGAGUGUGUGUAAAAAUGCAGCUAGAGAGGUUGCGGUGGUGAUGCUGAUAUACUGGGAGGGAGAGGUACGUGUAGUCUGGAGAGUGAGGAAGUGAAAAAAGACGAGGAGAGGUUAGCAUACCGCGGCGCUAAUUCAACCGAGUACAGAACGUGGGGAUGGAGGUGGAAAAGCGGUUUUAGUUAUAUCCCAAUGGGAUAAUAUCAUAAACCUCCUUGAGGUUUCUCCUAAUAUCACCUAGCUCUCCUAACGCUUUAAAAAUAUAACUUAUCUCCUCUAAUAAUUUAAAAUUUUGGAUACGAGUUGAGAAGAAGUUGGAAAAAAAAGAUAAAGUUCAUAAGAAAUUGGUUUUUAGCGUGCAGAGUUAAAUUAGUCAAUUGUAUUUCUUUGUAAAUAUCUUUUUUAUUUUUCAAAUAUAUAUUUUUAUGGACUAUAGUAUUAUGAUGUGAUAGUACCACUAGGCAUUAUUUUUUAAAUGAUGGUUUUCUUGAAGUAAACAAAGUGAUGUAGGAGCAUUUUUUUUUUUUUAGUAAGUAGAAGGGUAAUUUAGGGUUUUCAAAAAUUUUGUUACACAAAUAACAAAAGUAAGAGAGGUAAGUGAUAUUUUUAAAACUUAGAGAUGUCAGGUGAUAUUAAGAAAAAUCUCAGGGGAGGUUUCUAUAUUAUCCCUAUCCUAUCCGAAUAGGAGGGGAUUUUUUUGAGAUCUUCUAGGGAUUCAUUAGUAGUUUUAACCAAUGUUUUAAAACCCGGACCGUCAAUUGAACCGGUGAAGUGAAAGGGUCGAGAUUCAACCGGUCGGACCGGUUCAACCUCGGUUCAAUGAAUUUUUUUAAAAAAUAAUUUAUAUAAAUAUAUAUGCACAAAAUAAGACAUGCAAUAGACUAAUUUAAAACUUUAUAUGAUGAAAAGUUUACUAUUUUUGAAUAACUUGGAUUUUCAAAAAUAAAAAUUUUAAAUUAUAAGUUAAAACAAAUAAAUUUCAUUUCAAUUUCAAUUAUAUCUACCAAAAUAAUCUUAAAUCUAACCCAAAAAUGUCACAAUAUUUUGAAAUUAUACAAAAUUCACGUCCAUGAGAAUUUGACAUUGUGAACUUAAAUUUUAAUUUACGUCUUUGAGAUUUAGGGAUUGCAAUUUAAAAAAGAAAGUUUGGAGUUCGAAGGAAGUCAAGAGAAUCGAAAAUAUAAAUGCAAACUUGAUAAGAAACAAAAAAUGAGAUAAAAGUGAGCGGUUGUAGCAUUAAAUAAUUUGGGUUAAAGAAAAAUAAUUCUUUUUUAACUUUUUUCAAAUUUGUGUUUUCAUUUCGGCCAAUUGACUUUCUCACUCAGUACAUAUUCAUUGGAAAGAAAAAAUUCUCCAUAUUCACAUUUUUUAUCCACUAGAAAAUUGUUAUUAGCGCCCAAUUAUUUAUCAAUGUUCCCUUAUUUAAUACUUAUUUACCAGUCAGUUAGGUAACAAUAUCCUUAUUCAAUCUUACUACCUAUGAUAUUGUUUUGAGAUUGUAAUUGAAAUUAAAUUUUUAAGUAUUUUGUUUAUUCACACAAAUAAAAAAAAUCAAGGAGUCAUGAUGUAAAGUACGAAUGUGUACAAUGUAAUUAUAAAUAUUUUUUAAAAUAAUAAUUACUUAUCAAUUUUUUUCCUAAAUACUUGUCUACAAUGUCAAUUGAGCAAGAAUAUCCCUACUCAAUCUUUCAAUCUGUUAUUGCAUUUCAACCACUAUUUUAUUGUGAGAUUGUAAUUGAAAUUAAAAGUUUGAGUAUUUUUAUUUAUUUUCACAAAUUAAAAAAUCAACGGGAUCACAUUAAUAAUCAAGGGGAGUACAUUAACAAACAUUGAUAUACCAACAAUAUAUUUAUGAUGUAAAGCACAAGUGUUUCUGAUGUAAUUAAAAUUUUUUAAAACAUUAACUUAUCUAAACAAUUCAAUUUAGUUACCAAAUUAGACCUUGUUUGGAUUGUCAUUUUUUUUAUUUUUUUAAUUUUUUCACAAAUCUAUUUCUUGAUUAUUUUUAUUCUACACACAUUAAAUCAUUGUCGUACAUUUUUCUACAAAAAUUUAAAAAAUAAUUUGAAAAAGCUAUUUUAUUAAAGGAUUUUUUUAACGAUUGUCCUAACACAUUUAAUAUUCACCUAAUUUAUUAUAUAUAUAUAUAUAUAUAUACAUAUACUAACAAUUAUUACUAUCUUUGCAUUUAUAUAUUUUUUAUAUACAAAGAAAUAAGUUUGAUGUGUCUUAGGUUGGGGGUAUUUUUAGUUUUUCACUUAAUAAGUUAAGUAUAUAUCUACACAAAAUAAUCGCAUCCGCAGGCUAUGGUUUAAUGGUAAGGGCUUCUUAUGACAAGCACAAGGUUAGGUGUUCGCCUCUUGGUGGUUGCAAUUUGGGAAUUAAUUUUGAAAAGUUUCAAAAACCGCCGGUUCACGGUCUAAGCGGGUUUUCACGUUCAUCCGGUUUCUAGCGGUUUUUGAUUACUCCCCGGCUUUAGCACUAGACCGGACCGUUGGCCUGUCCGGUUCGCGGUCCAACCGGCCGGUCCGGUCCGGUUUUAAAAACAUUGGUUUUAACCUAGACUGAUUCUCAGUCAAAACAAAAUAAUAGUUGUAAGACAUUCCUGAUUCAAAAUUUUGAACGUUUCUAAUUUAACGAUGUUAGUUUUGUUUAAGAAAACAAGUCUCUUGUUACUUAUGGAAUCCAAGUAAUCACAUUCAACUAAUUGCAUGAUCCUUUCGAUUUUAAACAAAUACACCAAGUCGCAAAAGAAAAAGGGUUAAUAAUACUUAGCCCCUUGAACAUUUAGGAUGAUCACAUUUUACUACUCUGAGUCUCGACUUUAAAAAUAUACAUUUUGCUCGUUUUACUAAAAAAUUAUUUUUUUUCUACUUAUAAAGAUCACAUACUGAAAGUUGGUAAAGUGAGAAUGUGAACAACUGAUCAAGGCUUCAUUGACGAUUUUUCACCUUUUCUUUGUGCAUGCUCUGGGCUUAUUCAUUGAGGAUUAUCAUACGUUUGAUUGGAUUCUUUGGAUAGUGUAGUCGGCUUGGAGGCGAGAUUUGGGAUGGCAUGCAAUAGUUGUAGCUUAUAGUGUUUGUAUAAAUUUUUUUUUUUAAAAUUUUUUUAACAAAAGAAGAAUGAAAUUUAAGAAGCGAAAAGAGAGAAAUCAAAGAUUCCAACUCAAAACUGCUAAAGCUUCAGCCGCUGGCAUAAAGUUCACGGUGCUUGCAAUUCAUAUAGAAUGCAGUUUCUAUUAUAAAAAGCUGUACUGGUUGUCUGGUUCUACAUCUCCAGCGUAGGGAAAGUCCCGACCAAUUAUGCUUCCAUUUUGAAUCCUUACUAAUAUAUAUUUUCGAUUCAAGAAGCAACGAAGCUGUAUUAGAUUUCCUCAAUUCAACAAUUUCGAUGCGUGAUACUAUCUAUCAGUAUAAUCAAUCGUUUCAAAAAAAAAAAAGAAAAGAAAUAGGAACAAGAAAAUUCUGAUGCUAGAAGCAAACGGAUGGCAAUCGGCAGCGGGCUACUUACCCUUUCGGGUUGACUAGCCAUAUCGAUGAUGAACGUUUUAUUUGCACAAUACCAGAGUUGCUGCCCAAAACGACAAAGCAGAGUCUCAUUAUUGUCUUUCGGCUCACAACCCCAAAUUUGCAGCUUAAACGGGCCUCAGCCUCAGGCGGAUGUAAAGGAUAUCAAGGUUCGGGCCAACAUCGAAGAGUUUAGACCAAAACGACAGUUCGUCCAAUUUCGCAUGUCAAGAUUGAAUUCGUCAAGCAUCAAAAGUUCGGUACAGAAUCUUUUCACUAAAGGUGAGCAGCUUGAAAUUUUGAUGUAGAGUUUUUGCAUGCUAAUUCAUUCUUACAGUUUGUUUCCUGACGAACAAGUUGGGUUGAAUUGUAAGGGCGGAGCGAUCGUAAGUACAAGAUUCUGGAUGCAUGAUCUAACUCGAAAAUUGGCCCGUUUGAAAACUCUGGACAUGGCCGGUAGCCGGUAGCCCACUAUGCGAUGGAUACUCCUAUGCUCGUAUAGAGCCCAAAUCUGUCGAUUCAUCGACCAUGUCGAUAGCAGAAUAACUGGGACUACCAUGACAAGAAACCAAAUUUAAACUCCAUCAAUUAUUGGAUGGAAAUGCAACAAAAGGGAAUCUUGAUCUACAAAGUUAUAGUAGCAUUACUAAAUCAAGAAAGAAAAAAGAAUUACGAAACCUUGGCGCAAAGACAGGAUUCAUAGUGAUAUUCUUAGUUAGGACAUUUUGAAAUCCAAGUUUUCAUUUUGUGUCCAAUUAUUGAACGUAACAAAUAAAGCAUUAUUCCAUUCCAGUGAUAGGUGUCUGAUACAUAAGGAACCUCAAACACAUUAUUCAUAAUCAAUCACCAACACAAAACCUCCAUAAUCCCACAUGGGGACUGACAUCAAUACCAAUACCAUUCAUUAAUCCCACCCGGAUUCGGGGUUCCGGAAGGUGUAACAUCAUUUGCACACAUCAUUUGCACACGGUGUAACAUCAUCUGUACAAGGUGUAACAAUAGAACAACAGCGAGUAACACCAAAACAACAUUUUUGUGGGUCCCACACGGCGUGAAAAUCGAGUUACAAGAAGUGAUCUGAGCCGCACAAAUUUUUUUGACCUAAUCAUGGCCGUGAACCUUCCGGAACGGUUGUCUCUGACAACCGUUCCAACCCCUCCUCCAUCCCACAAUUGUUUCGUCAUUCGGGGUCAUGUCGUCUGCUAGAAUUUCCAUAGUUUGGUCUGUUUGAAUUGUGAAUUAUUAGAGAUAUUUUUACUGUAGCACUUUUUGUGAUGUGAUGUAUGUGAGAUAAAAAGAUAAUUGAAAAGGUAAAAAGGUGUAUUAAAAAUUGUAAUAAUGAUGUAAACAAAUAAAUUUGGAGAAAUAAAGCCCAAUCCAAACAAACUUAUUAUUCUGAAAAUCAAGUAUUUCUCCUUCUUUGUUUCUUCUCUCCAACACCGUGCAGCUUCUCAGUCAUUUCGGGUUUUCAUGUUUUGUUUGUAAAGAAAAUGUUCCAAACCGUGGACGGACUAGGAAUUAGGAAAUAUCCAAUUCAACGUACGCAAUUAAUUAACUGUCUUAAUUUAAUGGUUUAUGCAUCUUCUGUGAAUGUGUGUUGUAGCUUCCACUUUAAUCCCAAACUCUGUGUGCAUGACUUCCACGUUCCACGAUUCAAGAUUCGUAGGUAAAGUUCAGACGAAGCAACUACUUUAGACUUGGGUCUUUCUAAUCCAAGAUGUAAUUAUAGUCUUUCUUUCUUUCUUUCUUUUAUAUAUAUAUAUAUAUAUAUAUAUUUUUUUUUUCCAUCAAAUAACUAAUUCCUUGUUAAAAAAUUUCGAAACGGCUGUUAGAUUUUAGGAGUGCAUCGUUUUGUACAGGGUCAUGGUUCUCUUGCUUUUUCUUUUUUCCCAGCUAAAUAAUUAAGUAGCUAUCACAGUCAUCUGAAAUUGGCCUACUUAUUACUACUAGAUGUUAAUGUCAGGUUUGGUCAUAGUCAUUCAUGUGGCAUUUCCACGAAAUUAUCUGCAAGAAGAAGUUUGACACCAAAAAAAAAAAAAGUAGAAGCAAAUGUUUUACUAGGUCACCAGAACUCCACAAGACAACCUAACCUUCCAGCUUCGGAUAUCUAUUUCAAUAAUACCGCCAUAUAUAGGCUUCCAAUUCAAACUAAUUUUAUCCUUGAAUAUCUUUCUUUUUUUUGUGAUAAUUUAUUUACUAAUAUGGACGAAAGUUUCUCAAUUGCUUGUCAAAUUCAAGACUCAUAGGAUCAGCUGAACUUAAAAAAAAAAUUUUUUUUUCAGCAGAGAGGGAUGAGAUUUGAUAAGUGAAGAGAAGAGAGGGGGAUAGAUAAGCCGAACUCUUGACUUUUGUGUAUGCUUCAGACUUCUCCACGAACUUUCCAACCCUUUCCAUUAAACCACUUUUCAAAAAAAAUAUAUAUAUAUAUAUAUCAUGUUGGAAGGGGAUGUUCAAUUGAACGUACGGGAGACCGAUGGGGACUAAACCACCAUUAGAUCAGAUAGGUGCACUACGCACUCGUAUGAAUUUUUUUACAGAAAUCACAUAUUAUGACAAUUGGUAGGAGACAAGGUUUGAACCCUUGAUCUCCUAUCCGACCAAGUCUUAAGGACUUGGUGGUAGCCAUGGGUUGUUGGUUCAUGACAUGUGUAUGUAAUGGUAGCCAUCCGUAUUUAUACAUUAUCAGUUUGAUUCAUUCAUAACAUGUACAUUCAACUUUUACAUAAUUAUUAUUCAUUUAGAAAAUGAUAAUGAUUGGACUAACUUUUGAAGUUAUAACGCCUGUCCUGUCCUCCUCAAUUCUUAAGAAGAGUCGUUACAAUAUUCAUUAUUAAUCACAUAAUGCACCAAUAUAACAAACCUCGAACCUUGCACACCCAAUUCAGCUCCUAUGCUGUUGGCCCUGCUGAUACUUUUCCAAUUUCACUUCAUCAAUCAUGCCACUCACCUAAUUCCUUUCCUCCCUUCCACUUCCCCCACCCGCAAAUCCACUGUCUCUGCCCUUUUAAUUCAACCUCUAAACUCUACCUUUUUUUUUUUUUUAUAACGAAACAUAUAUUAUUAACGGAUUGCUGAAAAUUGUUUCUCACAAUUGAUAUAUAUCGUUAUCCUAAAGGUAGAUAAAAUAUGCACUAAAAUUAUAGAUUUGUAAUUUAAUAGACACAAAAGACUUGAGAAAUUAAAAAUAGAUUUAAAAAAAUAUCAUCAAUUUUAAAGUCAUCUCCUUAUAAAAUAAAUCGCUGCAACCCACUUUAUGCAUGUUACAAUCGUCAGAUUUGCUAAUUAACAGCUGUAAAUUCCAAUAAAACUGAUGAAAUUUGCCGACAUAAACCCAAAUCUGAAAUAAAUUUAGGUCUGACGACUAGAUCUGAAGUGAAUUCAAAUUUAAACAACAAAACAAGGAAAAAUAACACAAAAUCUCACUAGGAACUUUUAGGAGAACAAAAAUUCUCACUAGAAGCCCUAAAAGAAAUAGAGAUCUCCUACUAAGAAAAUUGAGGGAGACUUUAUUAGAAAAAUAACAAAAAUAAAAUAUAUGAGAGAGAGAGAGAGAGAUCAGGGAGACUAUGGUGGUCUCUCUCUUGAAGAGGAAGCGGAAGGAAUUCAAAGAAAAGGAGUAGCAGAGAAAAGUUUGGGAAAGAGAGACAGUUGGGCAAAACAACUUUAUUAAGCCAUGAUUUGAUUUCUGCCUCUGCCUUUAUUUCUCCUCUACUUCGUGACUUUGUCAUGUCAGUCUUGCAAUCUUUCUCUUCAUAUAUUCCCUUCAUCCUCCAGCCCCUAAUAUUAGCCACUGAUGGAAUUAAAGUAAACUGGAAUACCAACUUUUCUUUUUAAGUGUACAAUUUUUUCAUCUGAAAAUUGAAAAAAAUUAACUAAGAGUACAAUUUUUAACAGCUAUCUUUAUUUAUUUUCUCUUUUGUGAUAAAUUAUGCACUAUCGAGUCAAGAGAUGGGAAUGGAAAGAGUGCUGGUGCCAAAACUCCAACGUGCAACCUUGGUGUAAGCCAAAUAUUUCAGCAUUACCAAACAUUGUCCUAAUAAUAUGCAUGGUCGGCAUAGUUUCUUUUUGCCAUUAUUUUCUUCAAUAGAAAAGAAACGAUUUGUUUUUGUUCUCUGUUACUAACUGUAUCAUCUAUAUAUAUAUAAUGCGAUUCAGUUCCUCAUUUCUUUCUCCUCCUUUUAUUCUAUUACGAUUUCACAUGUUGAUGAGUUCGAUCGAACUGAAAAUCUUGUAGUCUUAAAUUUUUACUAUGUGAUUUAUUAAUUACUAAGUGCAGUAUAACAUCCUAGUAGCUUCUCUGAAAAAAAACUAAUAGCUUGUUCCUGGUAUCCUCUAAAAUCAGCAGGCCGAAGGUGCCAUGCAGGAAAUUUCUCAUCUCCUUCCUGGCAUUUGCUCUGUAUCUUCGUACUUUGAUUAAGUGCAUUAUUUAAUGGCGUAAACUCUUAACAUUGCAAGGAAGCUGAGAAUGGUAGGGUACGAAAGGAAAGUGACUUAUGGAAUCACCACCACCCUGUGGGGUCCGGGGUCCGUCCCCCGUUCCUGAUUUUGCCUCACAUUAUAUUGCUAUUUUUUGAAACUUCAUUAAGUAAUUUAUUAAGUAAUUCCCCAUUCCUGAUUGUCUAUUAAGUAAUUUAUUUACACGGGUGACAGUCCAAUGAUAUUUAUCUUUGAAUUGCUAUUUUUUAAAAUUUUUAUUCAAAGAGAGUAUAUAAUUAUAAUAAUUUGACGUAUGUAAAUUAAAAAAGUGGUUGACGGGAACGUAAAAGUUUUUCUUUCGGAAAAGGAAAAGCUUCAAUCUGAUUGUCGAAAAAAAAAAAAUGAAAAGCUUCAAUCUGAUCAGGGCUUCAGAGGUCAUUUUAUCAGCUUAUGCACUCGUUCACAGAAACUUCCGCUUGACGGUCAUACUAUUCUCUCGUAUAAAUAGUAUUAAGACUCGUGCCCCCUUUUGCAUACCGUUUUUUCUUCGGUGCCAUCUCAUCUUUGGAGACCUGAAACAAGUAUCCAGAUUCAAUCACUCAAAAGAAACUGCAAAAUCUUUGGUCAAGAUUAUUGAAGAUGGCUGGGAUGCUUCCUGGAGUAGAAGUUGCAAGGAGGAGGAGGUUUCAUCAAAGUGGAGGAUGGCUUGAUUCUUCCAGUGCUUCACCUUCUGGUCAUUGUUCAACUAGAAGGUCUUCUUUUUGUCUAUAUGUCAGCAACCAUGAAUCCCCUCUCAGCUCAAGCACAUCUAUUGUGGUUGGUACCUCCUAAAUUUUGGAUGUCUGGUUGUAUGAAUGCAUGAGUUCUUGAAUAUCAGAGCCAUAUAUAACUUCGUAAUACAUGAAAUUGCUUGCAGCCCAGGAGCUCAAUAAGCCAGGCAUACUGUGAUCAGAAGCUGAAUGAUGCAGCCAGAGAAGCCAAACAAAGGUUGGAUGGGAGGCUAAGAGCACAAUGGAAAUCAGAAACCAAAAGGUAUUUUUUUUUCCAAAUUCGGGAAAAGAAAUAAUCCCAGUCACACAUUCAUGUGCAAAAUGUAUUAGUACUAGCUCUUUUUUUUGUGUGUGUGGAAUUUCACCGGAAUAUUGUUUUCCCCUCGUUUCUCAAAAUUUGUGAUCAUGUUCAGGGGUCAUAGCGGCCGACAAAGAUCAAGACAAUCGGAAAACAGGCCUACAGAGGUAAGAGAGUUGCAAACAGAGGUGUCGGGGGUAAAGAAAAGCGGAUCGAAGAGGUUCAGUUGGGUGAAGCUAAGCUGGAAGUCAUCUGAACAGGACGAAUGUGCUGUGUGUUUGGAGGAAUUUAGGGCAGAGGAGAAGCUAAUGCAGUUAGCCUGCGCCCACAGGUUCCAUUCAGGAUGUUUGGUGCCAUGGCUCGAGAACAAUGCCCACUGUCCUUGUUGCAGAACGGAAAUUGUCCUAUAACUAGUGGGAGGGUAGUCAGUCAAUAAAGGGCAUGAACUACUAUCAAUCAUUAGUUUUAGCUUCUAGCAGCCCAACUUCUUGAUGAAAGUUUGAGGUUGAACAAUCACUACUGUAACCUACAUAGAUUCAUUCACUACUGUCGUGCAUCCGAACAAUACUCUCUCUUUUUUUGGUUCUGUAUCGUACAUCCGAACAAACAAUUUAAAGAUGCUCUUCCAUAUACUAGGGAUUUUUUUUUUAUUGCCUUUCUUUCUUUCCCUUUAUUGUCAAAUCAAUCUCGCUUGCUUUCAGGAGUGAAAUAGUAGUAAAUCAUAAAUGGGAAAACCUUUCACCUCGGUAGGUUCACUUUCAGUGCAAGAGUCGAUCAUAAAUUUUGUCCCUAAAGCUGUUGAUGAAUUGAUGGGUAGCAGCUGAGGAUCGAAACAAGUGAAUUGAGUUGCUCCAUAGAUCACUGUCCGUGAUUGAUUUUGCGCUGUCAUGAUAGGAAAAUUGAAACAAAAUGCAUCAGUUCUUGUCUCUGAUGGGCCCAAAAUUCCUUGUACAUAUUUCCCCUGAAUGAAAGAUGACAUUCUAUUAUUGGUUUCUGUCGGUUCAUGAUGCGCUGUCUCCAAUUUCAGCUUCUGGUUUAACAAAAUAUGAAUCAAAUGUUUGGUGGGAAUAGUUAACAAUUCAAGUUUAAUCCUCUAGUUUCACUACUAUUUCGAGGAAAAUACAAGUUCUUAUCAUUAACUUGCUCGGUUCGCCAUUAUUUGUAUGAAUUGCUAUUAGAACAGGAACAGGUCACCUACCUAACUAAGGAUAAACCAUCAUCUGCAUCUGUGGAUGCUGCUGCUUUUACUUUCUAUUCUCCUUGUGUCUUGUAGUACUAGCUAAUUGCAGCCUUUCGAAAACCAAACUCCAAAAAAGAGUUAAUUUAUUGAUUCAAAAAAGAUUGUGCCUACUUUUAUAAAGUGGAUUCCAUCUCACCAUUUCCACUAUGCAUAUCUGAUGUGCGUUUUUUGCUUAAUCGCCCAGAAGUAAAAAAAUAUAUAUAUAUAUCCACCCACCCGAUUGUUAUUAUAAUCGUGUUUAAAACUAGGAAAAUUUGCUAUUGGCAAAUGCCUCUUCUUGAUGUUUGUAUUUCUUUGAUCUUUGAGUUCCAAGGAUAACUUUUUGGAUCCUUGAUUUUUUUUUUCCCUUUCAUAUAUAAAAGUUUGAAUGAAUCGAUCACUACUAUGAGUUAGCACGGGAUUAUUUUUACGCUUUGUUAUGUACUAUGUGCUUAUUUUUGGCCUUUUCAGUUCAAGAGGGCUUUGACUUUCACUGCCGCUCUGAUGAGUUAAGUCCAAGUUUAAUCGCCUUCAUGGGAAUGGACCUCUCAAGUUUGAGAGCCCAACUUCAUUAUUGGCCUUUCUGAAAUCAGGCCUCUUCGUACCCCAGUGAUCGAAAAUUUUCAGCGAGUCAACGAUGGUAUGCAGCCCAAUUGAUGAUGUAUAAAACAGACGACCCACCACCGGUGGGCGACUGACGUUCUGCGUCGUCGUUUCUCACUAAAUUAACGUUUAAAAUCCAACGGCUAGUUUAUAGAAUGACCGUUUUGAAACCAAUAAUUCAAAGCGCGACCUCCCCAUGAAAUUCACAAGAAAAAGCAUUUCUCUUCAGACAUUUGAAAAAAAUACGCCCCCACAAAUUAAAUCCCUAAAAAUUAUAAACAAAAUCCUCAGCUCAAGAACAAACAUUCAGCCAAAAAAUCCGUCUCAAAUUUCUCUACAAAAUCUGCAACAGAUAAUCAUUCCAAAAUGGUUUACACAUACACUCCUACAUAUUACAGUUCACUCCAAGAUUCAAUAGCCUCUUUGUGCAAAAAUAUCCUUCCAUUUUCUUUCAAGAAAAGGCGGUUGCCUGCAAUCGCUGCAGCUGAGCAGAGGCUAUCAAAGCAGCAGGCUGACAACUUGAAAUGGCAGCAAGAUUCAUUCCACCAGAUACUCAAAUUAAUGGGCCUCUGCAAGGAAGGGAUUUUGCCCGAAACAGAGGUCUCUGCUUUUAGAUCACAUCUAUUAGAUACCCUUAUUGCUUCACCACUUGACCAUGAACAUUCUUCAAUUUUGAGGGAUAAAUUGCUCUUCUUGCAGGUCAGUUCUUAUUGCUGUUUUUCCCCUCUAAGUCUUGAUAGCUUGAUUGAAUUGCAAUGCUUUUGGUUCUUCUUUUAAUGCCCAUUUAGAUUCAUAUGGUGACACUUUUGAAUCCUUAGACAGACAGGGAUGAUUGCUUUUCAAAAAUUGGAUAUCCAAAAACAAAAGAUGUGAAGCCUGACGAUUAGAUACUAUAUCUGAUUAGAAAAUGGAAAAUUAAUGCACAAUGCACCCCAAUAAAAAGUGUUCCUUUAUCUUUCUAGGAGCUACUGUAUGCAAAAUGCAUAUCAGAAGAUGAGUAUCAUUCGUCGAAAAGGCCUUUGUUACAGAGGUUAGCAGUUCAAGGAGCUGAAAUUGAGGCAAGAGAUAUAAUUGUUGGUGCUCAGAAAGAGAGUUCAGAUGAAGUGUGGUCUGUGAUAGAUUUGAAAGACGAGAAGUGUAUUGUUGGCAAAGAAGGCUCAAAUUUGAAGAAAAAACAAAAGCAAGGUUCAGCGAUGAAGCAAAUCAAAGGGGGGGCUGUAUCUGUAAUGGGCUUUGGAUCGUCAAAUAAAGGUGCAACAACUAAGGAAGAUAAGGGUUUAACUGCUCCGGGUGGUGAAAACAGUAGACCAGCUGAUAGAAGGUAUGAAGUUGAACUUUCUACGGAGAAUCCUUUCUGGAAUAGUCAGUUCAGGGAGAAAGAAAGUGAAACAAAAUCUAUUCUCAUGUCAGAGAGUUUGCCAAAUGAAUCCGAAAAAGUUGAGAAGCAAAGUGGAGGUGACAAAGGGAAAAGAAAACCCUUCAGAACUCUAUUUCAGAGAGAGCAAAAAGAGGGACAUGUGAGCACUAACGGGGAUAAUGGCUGUGGUUCUGAGGAAAAAACCAAAUCAGGAAAGAAGCAAUGGGGAUUUGAAGGAUUCAAGAAAUGGAAGAAAAAUGACUCUGAUGACGAAACUGCUCCAUUGGCACUAAAUGAGAAGUCAAAUUGUGGAAUUUAUAAUUCACAACUUGUCCAAAGCCCCGUUGGCGAGGGACCAGACACCAAGCAAAUUAAGAGGAAGCUGCACCCAGAUGGUGCACCUUCAGAUUUCUUUGUUGAUAAGGUGUAGUAUAUCGCGUAAUUCUUUUCUUGGCCAACGAACUAAGAAAGUCAAAAGGCUCUCUUUGGAGGUUUAUUGUUGAUCUAAUUGCUUUUCUGGUUAUUUUAGGUUUUGGAAGAUAAUAUAAAAAAGAAGCUGUCGCAAAUUCGAUCAGAACUUGAUGCCAAAAAUCAUAAUGUUCAUUUGUCGUAAGCAGUUCAUUCCUAGUCCUUGAUGAUGUUUAUGCAAUGCGCUUCUUCAUCUUCAGUUAAUCGUAUUGUAUGGGAUGGCGUCUGAUAGAUUCUUUUAUGUGGAUGAUCAGAGAUGACCAAAUUGAAGCAGUUUCUACUAGGCUUCCAGUUGACAAGGCUGAUCUAAAACAGUUCUUUCCCAAGUAAGACUCACCUUUUGUAUAGUUCUCUUCACACAAUGCUUUUUUCCCCUUUCACAUGAUGGAAGCUAUGACACUCAGAGAAUUGAAAUAACUUCCAGUAAAUUUGGAGGUAAAGAUAACUCUGUUUGCAAUUUAGGUAAUUAUGCAAAUCUUUGUUCUCUUUUUGGCUGUUUUAGGUCAUGGUGCGAUCAGUACGGUGAUGUCGUUUUGGAUGUGGUGAGGAAGGAAUUCAAGGACCAUGUUGGACAAGUGAGUGUUGGUAGGGAAAAGCACAGCUCCAAGAGAUGGACAACAUUUGAUGAUGAUGAAAAUUGUCACCCCAAUCUCUUUGCUCCAGAGGAAAACUUCUUCCACAUGAAGCAAGACAAAUCCAAUGCUUUGAAGAAGGAUCAUCUGUAUGCUGCUGCUGCUGCCAACAGCAGUAUUGAGAAAGGCUUCAAAUAUAAUCCCUUCUUUGAUAUUUAGGCCUGCUUCAAAUUAAUAAAAGAGAAGUUUUAUAACCAUCACCUUCUUCAGCUUUGUUCUGAGGCCAGAAUCCUCUCUGGACUCUCACUGGAGAGGCAGCUGGGCUCCUUCCAAAGCCCUUGCUAAAAGACAGGCACUAUCUUGUUAUGUAUUUCUGGUACUAGUAUAGUUACAGUUUGUGAUCCUGUUGUGAUAAUCAACUAUUAAUAGAAUUCUUCAUUAAGAAACCUCAACUUGUUGAUUGAAUGUAGAACUGUCGGUAGUUCUGAAUCUGUAAUAUAUGUGACGCAACCAGAUCUGUAUGAUGAAAGCUCUGUUUUCAAACUCGGACCGGACCGGCCGGUCGAACCGGGAACCGGCCAGGUAGCCGGUCCGAGUCACAUUAAAAAGUGGUCAUCUUCACAAAAAAUAAAUGAAAAGCAAUUUGCUAGGAUUAAAAACCGGAAAAUUCGUCACAUUAAAAACCGGAAAAUUAAAACCCGGGUUUGACCGGGAAAAACCGGUUUUUCCGGUUCAACAGUAAUUUUUUAAAAAAAAAUUCAAACUUUUUAAUAUUAUGUUUUGACCCCCUAAAUUGUUAAAACUUAUUGGUAUACCUCAAAUAUUUGAUACUUUAUAAAUAUUGUCCUAAAAUUUGAUGUUAUUUUUCAAUUAAAUUCAUAAUUUUAAUUCUAAACUUGUUAAUAUUUAUUAAAUAAUAUAAAUUGCUACUUGUUCUAAUUUCUUUGUAUUUUCUUGUUAAAUAUAUUUGAAACAUCAAAUAUAUAUGGAUAUACCUUUAUUAAUAUCAAUAUAUUAUUAGAUAUUAUAUAUAUAAUAUUUUAAUUUUUAAAUAAUUUUUAUUUAUGACGUCAUCCGGUUCGACCCCUAUCGACCCCGGUCGAACCCAUUGACCCCUGUAGAAAAUCGCAUCUACAGCAGUUGACGCUGUCUAUCACUGUCUUGGUAAACCCGCAGCCAUGAAUACAAAUACCAAAUUUUAGUUCUUGAUAAGAGGGAGAAUUUUAGCAUUGUGUAUCGCAAGGACGGUUUCUAUAAUCUGUCGAUACCGGUUAGAGUUGAAUUCUGCUUGCUACAUUUAUUGAAAACACGCUUUGCUUCCCUUUGCUACAUUUAUUGAAAACACGCUUUGCUUCCCUUUGAUACCGGUUAGAGAAGGAUUUGUUUAUGAAUUUAACUGAAAUAUAUAAGAAAUUUGCCUUGAAUCAAAGCAAUGGUCCAAUAAAUUUUAAGUGAGGUACAUAUUUCUCGAAAGGCUACAUGCAACAACAGCUCAAGAACAAAAUUGGCUUAUGUACAUGUGUACAUAGAAAACCUCUCAAAAAGAAGGAACUCCAGAGGUUGAAAUAGCACCUCCUGUCAAGCUUAAACCCUCACGAACAUCUCGUCGACAGAGGGGGCAUACGCUGGAGUGUUAGAGUAGAAACAAUGCUGAGUAAACGCAAGUAAUACGGAGCUAAGUUGAAACAGAAAAAGAAAUGAAUGGAAGAUUUUGCAGGAAAACAGAUGGUACGUACCCAUGUAUUUCUUUAAGCCAUUUAUCAAUACAGGCCACAUGAUACUCAUGGUGGCAAGGGAGAAUUCUUAUUUUGUCCCCCUCUUCGUACUCUGCCAAGCAAAUAUAACACCUAGACAAAACAGGAAUGGGUAUCAGCAUGUAAAGUACCAGCUAAGAGGGACUGCAUGGCAUACAUGGAACAACUAAAAAGUCUGUAAACAUACAAUAAACUUUAUACUACGGUAUGUGUAGCCAUUAACUGCAAUAGUUAACUAAAUAUCUAGGUAUUAACCACUUUCAGAAAACAGUUCUGUUUGCAGAAGCCCAAAGUGAAAGAUACAAAGAAGGCUAUGCGACAAAAAAUCCAUGUUAAUUUAUCCCGCUUCAGUUGGAAAUUAAGUAGCUUUUACUUCAGCAUACAAGGAAAGAGUUAUUUAGCAGGACAAAAUGCAAAGUUUCUGGUUUGAACAUCAUUUGCUCGGACUUUAGUGGGGGAAUUGCCAGAGAGAAGACAAGAUUUUCUACCUUCUCAAAACUUUCUUUAUGCAAUAAAGUUAUCCAUUACUGUCCUUCCAUAUUCCCAUCAGCAAACCUCUAGUGUGCAAACUCCAACAUCAAAGUAAACAUGCAUAAAAUAGUCAGGGAAACUUACUGUAUAACAUCAUCUCCACUUUCCAGUCUUUCUGGCUUCCUAUGAAUCUUCACAGGUAGAGAGUCAACAACUGUCUCUGGAGCUGGAACUGAGACCACAGACAAGGGUAGUGACAUGGGUUGUCUAUGUAUUUCAUCUAGUACCUGGAUAUUUCAAAAUAAAAUGACAAGUCAUUAGCAACUUCUAGGAGAUAGCCCUUCCCUUGCUAGAAAAAAAUUUAAAAAAAAAAUUCUAGGAGAUGGUAAGAUAUGAGCAUGUUGAACUAUAAAGAAAUAAAACAAAGUUAUUUCUGUGCCUGUGAUCAAUGAAACUUUUUCAAGUAAAGUCAUGGAAUAUCAGCAAAAUUUGUUUUAGAACUACACUAAGAAAAGCACUGAGUCUCCAUAAAACAUUUUUAAGAGCCCUCAAUUCUUGAAAGAGUACGUCCCAAUACUACAGCAAUACCUUGGUUAACUUGUUUCUUAUUCCAUAUUUAUCAGGUUGUUCUUGGCCUAAAAUUCAUUAACUUAACUACAGCCUACAGCCUAAGAUCUAAUUCUAUGACUUGGUACAUAUUUCACUCUCCAUGAGUCUGGUGCCAAGGUAAUGUCAGGAAAUAUACCAUCCUUCUGUUACAGCUAAAUCUUUUACAGCAUCCUAAUUGAAAUUUGUCAAUUCCAGUGACCUGCAGAGGUAUGGUAAUUCUUUAAAAGACAUAGCAUACUUUUCAAAAAACAAAAGGACCUAUUCAACUCCCAAAACAUGCAUUCAGCACAAUAAGCACAACCAAAAUUAGUGGCAAAUUAAUGGAAAGGAAUUUCAGGAACUUGACUUAAAUUCUUGACAGUUAACUUGGAUAACUCAAAAUCCGCCGCCCGGGGGGGGAACCAGCCCAAGAUGAAAGGGUAAAUUACCUCAAACAAUGCUUCAGCAAGCAUGACUAUUCGUGAAAUGCUUGCACGAGCACCAGACUCCUCAGCCCUUAACAUCAAACCACAUGAGCAUGCACCAUCAGGGUGAAUUCCAGCUGGACAGGUGGCUGCCCGUCGAUCAGUCCCACUUCGACCAACAUCGUGAAAUCGUUCCCAUAUCUGCUAGGGAAUAAUGGUGCUUGAUAAAGUAAGAUUUAACCAUGCAGAUGGGAUACCACUAGUAAAUUAACAGUGAAGUCAAGACAUGCAGUCAAAAUCUAACUUAGAUUCUAGAUCAGUUUUAACGCUGAGGAGGACUGGCACAUAGACUAAUGGAACCAAUAGGAUAGAGGCGCAAUCUACAUGAUAUGAUGGAAAACAUAGUGUCGUAACUACAAAACAAAUUAAUUGUAGCUAGAAGUAUUCUGAUAAAUGGAAGACCAGUAGUAUCUGAGCAAUUACCUCAGAACUGGAAUGCCACCGACGUUCAUUGGUAUUCUGGUCGCUACUUGGAUGUGGUCGUGAAUCACCUCCAAUCCCAUCCUCAAAGAAAUCGCCAUUAAAAUCAAGAAGCCAUCUGUCAUAAGAUUCAAGUCCAUCGGAGUCAUCUGCUGUAAAAAGAUGUGAUCUGGACUCUGCAUUCCUUCUAGAACUGCGUCUUGAGAAAGCAUCCCAGAAAAGUCUUCUGCUAUUAUGUCUUGCUUCAUGAUUGCUCAAUCCAGCAGAACUACUAGGUGACAUAUUGGAGGAGACACUCACCAUGUCAACUUGAAGUACAUUCCUGUCUGUAUGACCCUGAUCUCUCUCUGUCAACAGGAAUCCUAGACUCGAAGGAGUAAUCUGCUGAGAAGUAUCACCCACUGGAGAUUCAGAAAGAACAGAUGCUGAACCAGAAUCACAGUCGUGGAAAAGCAUCAGUUCAUUUGCACAAUUUUCAACUGAUACUUCAUCUGAUGAAGAUUCUCCAAGUCCAACAGAAGAUGGACAAUUAGAAAGCAUAAAGCCAGCACAACUAUGAGGCACAUUCUCAUUCAUCACAUUGUUACCCCGGUUAAGAGCAUCUGCAUUCGCCCUGGCAUUUGCAGAUUCUGUUUCUGUAGAAGGUUCAUCUUCAUAGGAUGUACUAGCAUCAUAGCUUCUACAAGUAAGAAGUGAUUGAGAAUUAAACGCUAAUUCCUUAUUCUCAUACAACCUUUUUCCUUUAUCAAUUGCCUCAACAUUUCCAGGAGAAUCUUCUCUAGAAGAGCUAUCGCCAGGCAAUGUGCCUCUUUGAGAUCCAGCUCCAGUUUCAGUUGUAGGAAUUGGAUGUUCAGUACCACUGUGAAAAGAAGAACUCUUAGGUGGAAUUUGGAUCUUCUCCAGACCAUCGUCUUCAGCAGAAUUUACCAGUUUUUCAGCUGGAUCAUCUUCCAUCUACAGAAAACAAUGGCCAAUAAAAAAAACUUAAACUUCAAUACCUAACCUACCUAGCCCAUUUCAAAACUUUAUUCAAAAAAAUGCAAUCCAACAAAGCAUGGAAGUCUUUCUUUGCUCCAAACAAAACAAAAAAAUAAUUCAGCAAAUUUAAAUGAUAUUGACACAAAAAGGCCACAAGUUAACACACCAACCACACCGGCAAACAAACGUAAAACCAUGCUUUGACUGCAGUUGGUUUUAUCAGCUGUACUCGAGAGUUAAAUAAUCACAGUUGAUGAUAAUAUUGCUCUCCUUUUCCUGUUACAGAACUGCAUAUGAGAUUUACACCUCACAUGGCUCUUCCAGAAGACAAAUACAUCAAAUCACUAAUUAAAAUAAUAUUUCCGCAAGAAAGGUUUGGCAGAAAGCCAGAAGAGCAGAGAGGGUUUCAAACAAACUUGCCCCAAUCCACACAAUACUUUUGCAUGCUCCAAUCUGGAAGGAAAGGCAGCACGUACAAGAAUUAUCUUCAAAUCAAGCAUACAGAUCUCAGAAGUUGCAAAUGAACCAGACAUUGCUAUCGUAUAUUAGUAUCUGCUCAUACACCUAAUAGAGUAAAUAAGAAGUAAAUAAAAAAAUAAUAAUAAAAAACCGAUUCCUCUUUCACUCUCAGGUUUACUCAAAAUAGUAACAUUUCCUCUCCUCUUCCCUCAGUUUCACUGUUAUUUCAGUAUCAAGUUCUGAAUUCAAGCUCCCAUACUGAGAAGAAGCUCAAUUCACUACAACCUAACAACUUCACCAGAAAAAAAAAAUUACAAGCUCCUCAACAAACAACGUUUAGUUUCGCACGCCAAUCAUUUAAUUCCACGAACAGAAUAUGCAAAGAUAGCAUUGCAUUCCAAAUGUGCAAGUAAUAUAUCCAGCCAUUUCAAGUUUUCUACAAUAAAAAAAUGCCCAAACUCUUCUUUUGUUCCGAAAAUCAAUUUUUCUUUUUCACUAUAAUUUUCCGAUCAGAAUCUAAUAGACUCUUAGACCCAUAAAAUAAACCAAAAAGUAAUUCUUCCCCGCGCUCAUCAUCCUAAAUCAGCCGUCACCAACAACAUUUGUCACCACCCCCACCCGGAAAAGCUCUUUACCGUUGAAGAGGAACUCAACUAAGCAACCUAUGUAAUUUUUAUGGGCCUUAUUAAAAAUGCAUGAUUUUAUCAGCUAGAAUAUAAACCAAUCAAGAAAUGCACCACAUGCCAAUCACUUUCCAACGGUUUUAAGUUAAAAAUUAAAAUAACCAAAAAAAAUCCUGAAAUCCUGAAAUAUGAAGUACCAAAAUCCAUGUAUAAAAGAAAAUGAUUCAUAUUACAUAAAACCUGUGGAGACACCUCAUGAGGAUGGCGAGAGGAAGGCAAGGCACCACAAAUGAAGAGAGAAGAGAGGACGCGUUUGAAGCUGGGACGAUGACGACGACGAUGAUGAUGCUGAGGGAGCCGAGAAGGGGGUGGGCGAGAGCCCCCUAAACGGCUACCACUGGAACCCAUUUUUAUCGAUCAAAAUUGGUAAUCAAAUGAAAACUCUCUUCUCCCAUCAUGAAAUCCUGAGGGAAGAGAGGGACGAUGUGAAAUUAUUCUAACAUUUUUCAUUCUAAACUUUUCUUGUUUUCUGUAUUUUUCAGAUUCUUAGAGGGGACGGUGGUGAUAAAUGAAAUUGGAGGGCUGAGUCAGUGGCAAGGUGUACGGGUGAGAUGUCUCUUUUGCUUCAUUUUUAUUUUUUCCUUUUUUCCAUUGUUUUGAAAACGAGUUGAAAAGUUCACUAAGUACGAUAAUAUAUAAGUUUAAAAAAUUUUAAAUAUAUGUAUCUCUUUAUUUAAUUUAUAAUGUAAAAUAAAAUGAUUCAAUUUAAUAUUUUAUUUUUUAAAUCACAAAAAUUAUUCUAAAAAUAUCAAAUUUGAGCUUUUAUGAAAAGUGUUUUUAACACAAAAAAACACCAUUCUUAAUUUUAUGAAAUGAUAUUUAUCAAAUGUAUUAAAAAUGCUUUUAACACCUAAAAAUGCUAUUUUAAAAAAAAAAUAUCACAACCCCAAACGAACCUUAGUUGCGUGAUAACUGAACUAAAUAGUAAAUAGUUGGAGUAUGUGUUUGGUAGCGAUAUUUCUCCAUCUCGUUGCUUUCACAUGACUGCGGAAAGUGACCAAAUUUUAGGAUGAUACUUGAGGGUUAAUUGUCUUUUCGAUAUAGACUUUCCAUCUAAGCUUUUAACCAGAUUUUAGUAGGUUAGGAUGGUCUUGUUGAUAGUUGAAAGGGAUUGUGUCAAAAUAUAACAAAAUCUUGCACAUGACAGAAUUGGAUAGAGUAAAUGUUAAUGGCAUUUAAAUUAUUUAUUAAUGAAACUUCGUUUGUUUUUUUCUUUUGCAUGUAAUUCUGUAUAAGAGUACAAGCGAGAUGGAGUGCCAUUGACAAUCGUUGCAAUACCAUUGUUAGAUAUUUUUUUUCCCCAUUUACUUUGUUUUAUGAUGAAUUGUGAAUGAUAGCAUCAUAAUAUCGGGUUACAUAUAUACAAUAUAUUGUUAGCAUAUCUUUAGGAGUAAAGCACGGCCUAUGUUUUUGCUCCUGUAUUAUGUGACAACUUUCGAAGAUUUGAAAAAAGACUGAAUUGGUUAAUAAGAUGGGAGGGAUUAUAAUUUAUAAGAGUAAUUUUAAAAACUUGCCCUGAGAUUUUUGACAAUUGCAGACAACUCCGAUCCCCUUACGUUUUGAAAAUUACACAUACUUUCUCUAGAACAUAGGCUUGGGUUUCACCUCAAUAAUGUAAGACCAAAAAAGUAUAUGAACGCCCAAAAUUGCCCUCAUCUAAUUUUCAAAAUAUGAAUAGUCAUUACAAUUUUUUAAAAAUUAAGAAUACACUUGUAUACUACAAAAUUAUGAGUUUUAUUACUUAGUCAAUGUCCUGAUGUUUUCCAUCCCAUGGUUUUCUACAUCCACACAAAUUUUCAAACUCUUAUCACUUUUUCUUUUUCCGAACAAACUCUUUAUUUUAGAUGCCAAAAUUCACCAUCAUAAUUUUUACCUUUAUAAUCUUUACAUCUUUAUAGGUUUCUUCCAUAUACUGCCUACCAAACUGUCAGCCAUAAAACUCACAAUUCUCAUCUUUUUCCCACUCAAAUAGCCAAGCCCCUCAAUUACCAAAUUCUUCCUUAUGUGAGUGAUAGAAGGUUACAAUUUAAUGGACAUGGGUGAAACAGUUUGGUCACAAUAUGUGACUUGGUCAAGAAGAAUUGUUUUUUCUUUUUUUUUUGGUUAUCUUUUUUAUCAAUGACUUGUCUUUGAAAAAAUUAUGAAGGUUAUUAUAGUUAUUGUCUAUCAUCAAGAGAGGUAAGUAUAAUAUUGAAAACCUCAAAGGAGCUCAAUGAAAUUGUUACAAAAGUCAGGGGAGGUUUCUGAAAUUAUCCCUAAUUUAUAAGUAGGAGGUUUUGGAUUUUAUUUAAAAAAAAAAAAAAAAAAAAAAACUUUGCAAGGAUUCCAAUCUCGGCAGAGGGUUUAUAUUUUAUUGUCUGGAGCCAUUUGAAGAUUCAAACCAACACCAUUCAGUGGACAGUGCAGAACACACAUUGGUCCUGCUGCACUCACCAUGCCACACUCAGGAUUUUCAAGAUUUAGCCCACAUUACAUUACAUUACAAUGGCCGUUGCGUGUGUGUUUAGAAUUGCUUUUCACUGAAUUGGACAGUUAAUAUCUAAGCCAUUUGCAUUCUCAGCAUCUGUGGUUGCCAGAUCAAUCGUCAAUGGAAGAAUAGGACAAAGGGAAGAUUGUUUCAUUGAACGUUCAACAUCGGAAUCUUGAUUUGUAGAUAGUAGUAAUCAUUUUCUGUGAAUGUUGGUUAGAAACCUAACGCUCGUAGCUUGAGGUCUGACCGGCAGUUAGCUGUGAAUAUCCAAUCUCAUCCCACGUAAAACAAUUCAAACACAAUUCCAGAUUUUCAGAAUUCGACCUAUAAAUACUACUCUUGCUCAACGUUCGUUUCCUCAAAUUCCCUACGACAUCUUACAUCUACCAUUCCGCUUGUCCUUCAGCAGCAGCCCAUCAGCAUGCGCGAUCCGCCGCCACCGCCACCGCCAAACACGCAUCCUCCUCCACACCACGAACCGACUCCUCCUCCUGGCCAUCACCAUCACCCCCCGCCCCCUCAUGAACCACUUCCGAAGCCACAUGCACCACCUCCACCCGGUCCUCCACACAACGAACCACCUCCACCCCAUCAUGGUCACGCUCCGCCCCAUGGAUCACCCCCUGCUCCUCCUGGACAUCAUCACCACUGACGACGCUAGCUAGCUACUUCUAUCUAGAACCUAAUGCGAACGUUUUACUACUUUUACCACUACUGUUUAUGAUGUUUAAGGUUUGCAACUGCUCCACCAGCUGCUCCUUAGCCGCCUGGGCGUGAAGCAUCUACUUCUGUGUAAUAAUAUGUACUUGAAAAUAAAAAAUAAAAAGAAAAGUUAUGGAUGCUUUUUUGUUUUUUAGUACUAUUACAAUAGAACUCUGAUGCAGAAGCAACAUUUAUUCAGUUCUUGCUUUUGCUACCAACACAGAACUCAUGUCAAACCUGGACGCAGGAAACAGUCCUUUUAACAACCAAAGCUGGAAAGUGCUUGGCUACCAAAGAACUGAAGAAAUCAUAAGUUUUCAUGCUUGAAAAUUUUUAACACCCGGAAGAUGGAGUUUCCUGUUCAUAUGUCUAGAUUUCAGCGUUAAGAAUCAAGAUUGUUGCUUCUUUGCUCAUCAUGAUCCAAACUCACAUGACGGAAGUAUAGGAUGAUUUUGAACCAUCUGGUGCAAAUUUUCAUAGCCAUGUUCUUUAAAAGUAUUUAAAAAGAAAAAAUAUGUUCUAAAAUAUGAUGUAUGUGAGAUGAAAAUUAAUUACAAAAUAUGUUGAAAAAAUACUUUAAAAUUAUUUUUAUGAAAGAUGGACUAUUCAAAUUUCAACUCUAAUAGUCAAAUUCAUUAAUGAUUCUCUCCUCUUAAAUAAAGUUUUCAAGCUAUGUCUCUCUUUUGUACCCAUUCAAUUUUGAAAUAAGUUUCUUUUUAGAAUAUCUUCUUUGAAGAUUUUAUUCAUAUAUUUUUUAAAUCAGCAAUUCUUAAAUCUCAUAUAUAUACACACACAUGCACACGUGUGUGUCCACGCGCGUGUAGUAGUGCACGACUGAGAUUCUUUUAUUCUAGUUUCCUUUAGGCCAAUUGGGCCUUCCUCUAGCACAAGUUAGAAUGCAAUUGACAGUCGGCCCAUUUGCGACAAGUUUUAAUAAGUUCAAUCCCGUCUAACUUAGUAAAAUAUUUGAAUUUCUAACCAUGAGUCUUGGAGUAAUAUAUGUGAAACUCAUACUUGACUCACAAUAUAUUCGGCUUUUGAAUCUAAUUCGAGUUUAUCCUAAACUCAUUUAUUACUACUUAAUUUUCUUAAUAUAAUUAUUAUAACCAUUAAGUAGUAAAGUUAAUUUGAAAUCUACGACAUUAUAAUUACACAUAAACUAGUAAAAAGCUCAUUAAAAAUACUAUUGUAUCUAUUUCAUUUAAAAUACAUGAAUAAUAAUAAUAAUACAUGAAAAAUAUAUUUAUUUAAUGAAAAUAAUUCUUUUUCUAUUAAUUACCGUAUUUUAAUUAUACAUUACAUAUUUAAAAAUAAUACAUUUAUAGUUACAUAUAUUAGGGUACAUAUAUAUAAUUAUAUAUCAAAAUAUUGAUAUAUUAUAUGGAUUAAUCUUUCCUACACUGACAGUGUAUAACGUUGGAUAAAUGACAACUAUAUAAAAUUUGAAUUUGAAAUUCAACUUUUGCACACAUGUCAUGAAUCCAACGGUAAUAGUGUAUACACUAUCAGUAUAUAUAAAAUUUACUUAUAUUAUAUAUAUGUGUGUGUAUGUGUGUAUGUGUGUAUGUGUGUAUGUGUGUGUAUAUAUAUAUAUAAUGGGCCAAGCUUUUAUCGAAUUGAACCAUGGAGACUCGAAUUUGGCUCACAUUUUAAUUGAACUUUAAAUUUAGGCCCAAACUCUGCUUGUCUAGAAUUAUAACAGGCAUGGCCCCUUUUCUUUUGAGCAAAAUGGGCUAAGUUCGGACUGAUCCAACACUAUUAAUAGUCCUAAAUAGGGAUAGAAGUUGACAAUUGAUAUAUGAAAAAAAAGAGUAAUAAUUAUUGCAAAACAUAUUAAAGGCUAGCAAUAUAAAAGUAAUCACAUUGGCAAAUUUUGAUUGAAAUCAAUAAAUGAUAGAAAAAUGUGUGCAAUUAUACCAAGUUUUCUCUCUCUUUUUUUUUUACUUAGGGGUAUUCCAGCCUUUCGGCCAGACUAAUUUCCUAAGAUUGUAUAGAGUUUAUUCUCAAAAAUAAACAGCAAGGUAGCAUAUAGAGGUAAAUCACAAGACUUGCUGAUAACUAUCAUAUUACGGAAUCAAUCGCAUUACUCGUGAGGGGUAAGUUUUCUCGUUCAUUAGAUAAAAAUAUCAUGAUCCAGCAGUCUAUUCUUAAACAAGAAAAAGGAAAGUGUUGAACUCUUUUGAAUUUAGCUUUGAACUAACGUGUUAUUCUCAGUGUUAUUAGACCCAGACCGGAUCGGCUGGUUCGAUCGGUCUGACCGUGAAUCGGUCUUCUUUCCAAUCUAGGCUUUGUUUGGCAAGCAAAUUUUUUGUCAAGUUUGUUUGCUACAAUUUUUUAACAACUUCAGCUAUAGUAAUCUUAAAAAAUUUCUCAAAAAUUUUAAAUUAUGCAUUUCAAAAUAUUCAAAAAUUCACACACUUCAAAAAAAAUUUCUAUAGUAAAUUACAUUAAAAUUUUAGACAAACAUCCAAAAAACUCACUUGCCAAACGGGGCCCUAGUUUGUAAUAUAAAAUUACUUUGGUCAAAAAUCAUCCAAAAUCGGCUAAACUAAUGACCUGAUUCGACUGGUUGAUCCGGUUCUUAAACUUUUUUUCUUCUUUUUUCCAAACAUAAUCUGAGUUAUCUAAAUUAUAACACUUUCAUUUAUUAAUCGGAAUAAGAAAACAUCACCCAUUUAGUGUAAAUAUCAAAAAUCACUCGUUUUCCUAAAUGAUCUCUAAAUUAAGAUAUUUUCAUUCCUAUGAUCUCAUUAAUUUAGCAUCAAUUAUUCGAACUUGUAUUAAUUUGUUUUAAUUUAAUUUUUCAAGUAAUUUUGGAGAAUGUACAUAUUUUAACUAUGAAUUUACACUUUUAUAUAUAAUUAAUAGGUAUAUAUUUGAUUACAAGUCUAAUAAUUUUUGGAUCAUUUUUCAUGAUUGGCCAAAUAUAACAGAGAACUUAAUUUUAAUAUUUCUAAAACUUAUAAAAAUAUAAAAUGAUUAUAAUAUCAUCCUGACAUCAUCGGACUUUUGAGAACGGUUCGACCAAUCUGACCAGUUGACCCCCUGACCCAAGAGUUUAGCCGACUCACUUUUCGGUUUGAGUUUAAUAACAUUGGUUAUUCUUCACAUUAAGGAUGUUACUCUUCUAAGUUUACCUUUAAAAAAAAAACAAGAAGGAUAGAAACUCACGACGUGCUUGUGUCUGCAUGAUAGAUGUGUCAUAUAUAAAAACUCCUUAAAUCAAGGUGGUGGGAUGUCAUUUAAAAUUUUAAAUUUAAAUCACGAAGUGUUGUAGUAUAAAGUCGUUUAGUGUGAAAUUUUCCUUCUUUUUCUGUUUAGUUUUUCAUUUUCAAAAAAAGAUUUUUUUAAAAGCAAUAUUUUUUUUGGAAGGAUUUUAAAGCAAUUGGUUAUUGCUUCAUGCUUCUAGACAGGUCUAAGUACACAGAAAAAGCUAAAGAAAAAAGUCAGACAACUUAUAACAUGAUCAAAUUAGGCCGAAAACUUGUUGCCUUGAUGUUCUUGUGUCUGCGAAAGACCGCUGCAUUUUUUCAGGCCGCACUAUUCGUCUUCUUCCUUGUAGGCUUGUACGACAAAUUGCUACUAUAUGGAUCAGACAAUAGAUCGGUGAAAGACGUCCUCCCGUGAAUAGAUCGUUGUGCAACAAACAAGGAAAAGAAAACUAUGUAUACUCGCAUACAUAUCCUGAAAUGAUGAUGCAACUUAAAACCCUAGAUCCGCCACCACCACCAUGGCCACCGGGAUUUACCGUCUUCCCCAACCUCAAAUCCCCGCAUAGGACCCUACGUUUCCACCAAUUUCUGGUCCUCUUCCUCACCUUCACUGCCUACUCUUCCUUCCAUGCCUCCCGUAAACCUCCAAGUAUUGUCAAAUCCAUACUUGGCCCCGAAGUCCAAACUGCAAACACCACGAUCCACGUCGUGGCUUCGGUGUUUAACUCCGACCCAUUUCAAUCCAGCCAAAACCCAGGUAAAAAUGCCACUGGGUGGGCUCCGUUUAAUGGCCGACGUGGACCCCACCGUCUGGGGGAGCUGGAUCUUUCAUUCCUAUUGGCCUAUUCUGUUGGGAUGUAUUUCGCUGGCCACAUUGGUGAUAGCUUUGAUUUGAGGCUGUUCUUGACUAUAGGAAUGCUGGGCAGUGGCUGUUUAGUGAUAUUUUUCGGGUUAGGCUACUUUCUUGACGUGCAUUCUUUCGCAUUUUUCGUGAUUGUUCAGAUUUUGUGUGGAUUGUUUCAGUCCAUUGGUUGGCCUUGUGUGGUUGCAGUGGUAGGCAAUUGGUUUGAGAAGUCCAAAAGAGGGUUGAUCAUGGGGAUAUGGAAUUCUCAGGCCUCGGUUGGUAACAUUAUUGGUUCAGUAGUAGCUUCUUCAGUGCUGGGAUUUGGGUGGGGUUGGUGUUUCGUCUUACCUGGGACUUUGAUUAUAAUUGUGGCAGUUCUGGUGUAUUUGUUUCUUGUUGUCAGUCCUGAAAAUGUUGGAUUUGAGUUUCCGGAAAUGGAGAUUGAGAUGAGUGUGGAGGCAGUUGCGUUGGUGGAUUCAGAAAAAGUUGAAUCAGGAGAAGAGGGAUUUGUUGGUUCUGUGGAUGAGGGUGUUUCAGUUGCAAUUGGAUUCCUGGAAGCUUGGAGGUUGCCGGGAGUGGCCCCUUAUGCUUUCUCCCUGUUCUUCUCCAAGCUUGUUGCUUAUACCUUUCUUUAUUGGUUGCCUUUUUACCUAAGGCACACAGGUAAUUGUCUAAUCCUCAUUUUUUCAAUUUGUGAUGCAAAUUUUGAUUUUUGAACGUAACCCAAAGGGGAAGAAAGAGUGUCUUUUUAUUUGUAUGUCUAGCUUAUGGUUUUAUCCAGAGCUGAGAGUACUAGAGCUUUAAAUGAUUUUCGGUUCAAAUGACUAUCAAAUGAGAUCGCAGAUUAUGUUACUUGUUACAUUGCCAUUUAUAGCUGCUUAAGUUUUAUAUGCUACACAAAGAGAAAUGCAUUGCGUAGUGUCUGAAUCUUAUAGAAAUUAGAUUCCAUAUUUAUUGUGUGGGAAAGAGAACUUUCAGACAAUUUAUAAAGUAGAAAAUCCUAAUCGUUCGAGUUAAAUAUGCAUUAUGUUAACCUUUUUUUUUUCAAUAUUGGAAUUUGUGUUCCUGGAGCUGAUGUUGUUCAGUUCAUCUACUUGUCUGAUCAAACUGUUUGAUAUUCACAACGAUGUGUUUGGUCUUGUUUUGAAGCCAUUGGCGGGGUGCACGUGUCUCACAGAACUGCUGGCAUCCUUUCAACGAUUUUUGAUAUUGGAGGUGUUGCUGGUGGCAUUCUGGCAGGAUUCAUAUCUGACCUAAUUGAAGCUCAAGCUGUUAGCUCUCUUCUAUUCUUCUUGUUAUCGAUUCCAGCCCUUGUUUUGUAUCGCAUUUAUGGAAGUGUGUCUAUGGUAUGGAAUAUUGCAUUAAUGUUUGUUUCUGGGUUGCUGGUCAAUGGGCCGUACUCGCUAAUUACCACAGCUGUUGCCACUGAUCUUGGUACCCAGAGUGUGAUUAAAGGUAACUCUCGUGCCUUAGCCACGGUUUCUGCAAUCAUAGAUGGUACUGGUUCUGUUGGGGCAGCAAUUGGGCCCCUUCUGGCUGGUUACAUAUCAACUGGAGGAUGGAACAGCGUGUUUUUUAUGCUCAUUGUUUCAAUAUUCUUGGCAAGCUUGUUAUUGAUUCAUCUUGUAAAGAAUGAGAUUAAAGGAAAGCUGAAUGAGGGAAAAUGGCUUUGGUUCCAUGUGAUUACUCAUUAACUAUAAACUCUAGUCUACAGUAUUAUACACAUUUAUCGUCUAUUAUGUGAGAGACAGGAUUGUUUAUUGCCAUUGAGACUACGGUUACUCCAGUGAUAGUUCGUGUAUCUUACCAGAGAAAGGAUUCCUACAUUGUAUACUAGUAUGCAGGAUAAAUCACAUGAUUCUUGUACUAUGAUUUUGCAUUCUUGAGCUACCAUUUGGUCGGUUCCUUUGUAUCAUAUUGUAGUAUUGGCGGAAGAGUAGAGAAAUCUAUGAGAUGAAAUUUUGUUACCUUUUUUAGAGAAAUGUUGUACUUUGUAAUUCGUACCCCAUUUUUUAGAAGAAUGCACAUGGUUGACUUCUUUUGUUACCAUGUUGGUUCUUUAAUUCUGAUUUUGCUUCGAAGAUAAACGGAACUACUCUUGCCUCGCUAUAAGGCAAUUGUUUGUUUCACAAAAGCUAAUCUUUCCAACUUAUCAUUGAUAAGAAAAAAGACUGAAAAUGAUGAGAUUGGAAACCAAAAAGUGGAUCAAGGGAAGAAGCGGCUCUUGGCUUUUCUUGGGUAAGAUGGCUAAUGCCUGUUUUCAAUCCAUCCGUUGCUAGUUUAGAUUUUGUCGCUGGUUGUAGCCCUAUAGGUGUAUCGAGAAAUGGAAAUAAGAGGAUUGCAAUUGUAAUUCUUCAGACUGUCAGUAUCUGUGUAUAUAUGAUAGGAAACAGGAUGAAAUUCCUGAGUGAUUAGUGCUCAGACUCUCAACAUGUAACAUUGGUCCAUCAAAAAGAAUAAUUGAAGAAAAUCCCCCCCAGUGUCCCAAAAUUCAGUGCAACUAGCCACGAAGCUGGUCGGCGCAUCGUGACAUGCAGUGUGUUCCAAAGCGUUUAGAGCCUCGUCUCAGCUUCUUUAAUCCGGCUCCAAUUUCGUCGGAUCAGGGUUCUCUGCUGUCACUGGUUUACUUUUCAUGGUGAAAAUGAGGUAUUUUUGAAUUGGAUGGGAGGUUAAAUGUUGAGUACCAAUUUCAAUGUAUGAAAAAAAAAAUUAUUAUAUUUUUUCAUUUUAUUGUGCUAAUAUCUACAUUUAUUAUAUUAAUAUCUACAUUUCUUGAGUUGGCGUCUCUACUAUAGUUAGUGUCUGCACUGCACCCCACCAUUACUACUGGUGACCACAAAAAACCUGAUCCACUUGUGUGCUCAUGAUUGAAGCAGGUGGUCUAACUUGUGCGCUCAUGAUUGAAGCAGGUGGUCUAACUUGUGCGCUUAUGAUUGAAGCAGAAGCAGAAGGUCUACUAAUAACGUCAAAUUUGGAGUUUCGAAGGCACCAUAUGGUAAUGUACAGUUUUAUGAUAAAAUACCAUAUGGUAAUGUUGUUCAUUCAAUGCACAGGACAAGAAGAAAUCCAAGGCACGCGUAGGAAAUUGACAUGAUUAGAGGACAGUAAAGUUGAAGAAUCGUUGGACUCGUGUACAUCUCAAUGGUUGUCUCAUCUACACGAGAGAAGUCAUCUCCCCAUAAUGUCAUUCACUCU
Molecule: long non-coding RNA, 74780 nt
Filed under: Coffea arabica (coffee)
Lineage: Eukaryota; Viridiplantae; Streptophyta; Magnoliopsida; Gentianales; Rubiaceae
Description: long non-coding RNA (CARA_LNC004473)
Source: RNAcentral